CACAAAUAAGUACUAUGUAUGAUGAACAUACAAAAACAUGCUUAAAAAGGGACAUUUCGUUCGAAAGUCAUGCAUAUGUAAUUUUGGUAAAACUUCAUGAAUAAGAGCAUAUUAGGCAUAAUAUCCAAAACUAAAAUCAACAUAAAAAUCAUAUUUUAACAUUAGGAUAUAUUCAAAAUACAAGUUUUAGAAAAUACAUACUCGUAAGGUACAUAAACAUUAUAUACUUUAUAUAAACACAUUAAGACCAUCCCCUAAUACAACUUUAAGUCAUACUUGUAUAAUGUAUGAGCAACAUCACAUAAUACUAAUCACACUAAGUAUUCCUCAAAUCCACUCUAGACUAAGCACAUCCAUAUUCAUCGCGUAAAGACAAGAAAAUAAUUCGUAACACAACCCAAGCAAGACAUACACUAUUACAUAAAAUACAUAAGUCAACAUUCUAUAUUAACUUUAUUAAGAGUACAUAAUUUAUUAGACAUUAAGUAAACGUCCUUAAUAACAUACUCAUAAGAUAUAAUAUCAUAACAACAUAAGUAAUUCUGUAGAUAAGGUCCCAUAACCCUACCUACAAUCAGUACAAUCUCUGGACUACCGUUCUAACACUUGUCAUAAAUUAGUCUCAUACAUAGUUCAUACACAUAGUAAAUAGACAUUCAUAAUCAUGUUGAUGUUCAUAAUUCAUAAACAUACUUCAUAUUCAUAGAACAUAGACAUACUUCAUAUUCAUAGCACAUAACAUAAUGCAUAUUCAUAGUGCAUAAACAUAAUGCAUAUUGAAAUUACAUAAACAUAAUGCAUAUUCAUAGUACAUAACACAUUGCAUAUUCAUGGUACAUAAACAUUAUGAGUAUUCAAAAUACAUAAACAUAAUGCAUAUUCAUAGUACCUAACGUAAUGCAUAUUCAUAGUACAUAAACAUAACGCAUAUUCAUAGUACAUAAUCAUAACAGGAACACACCAUGACUACUCUCAAAGUACACUUGUGCAAUGUAUGAGUGACAUCCUAUACUACCACUCAUACUAAGUAAACCCUUUGAGAAACCAUAGUAUAUAACUCACUUUCGCAUUCAUAAUUCAUAUUCUUGAUCAUUAAAGGGAAUAUAGCCUUGACCGACAUAGACCAUGUGAGCUACAUGGAGUCUGGUGUGAUAUGAACCCCCACUAAAAGAACGCAUCCUACUUGCCUAACGUAAAACUGUCAUGCCAUGUGCCUACACCCUGUGCAGGACUGACACUUGAAGACCAUCGUUGGCCCUCAAGUGCACCUUUAUCCUGACUUACUUAACUCAGCGGAAGGCUAAACUCAUCUAAAACAAAAAAUAGGAGAUGUUUAAAGGAAAAUACUUCAUAUAAUAUCUGGCCAUGAUGGAACUUAAGUCUCAACAAACAACAAUAAACUAUAUAAUGAAAUAUUAGCAUCUACGAAGCCUCUAAACUAACUGAAGAGGGACGUUGGGACACACUCCACAAUAUCCUAAAACUAAACCAUUAAAAAAUGUAUGUCUUACUGAAUGCAAGGAGGUUGACCACUAGCUGUGGAGCUCAAUCUGAAUCAAUAAAACGCCGCGUGCUGAUCCUGGUUACCUGCGUCUGUAUCAUAAAGUGAUGCAGUCAAACUGGCAUCAGUACAUUGAAUGUAUGAGUAUGCGAGUUGGAAAACUAAAAAAAACUUAAGCUUUGAAGGAAGUAAGAAUGAUACUUACUUUGUCUCUAUUCAACUCGUUAUCCACGAACUCUUAUUCAAUAUACGUAGUUAAAAUAAAUGCAAUAUAAAGAAAUGCCGAUUGAAAACAUGUUUAAACCUCUGAGUAUAUAUAUAAAGUACACUAUAAUGUCUGAGAUGUAUAUAAAAUACAAUACUGAUGUAUUAUUAAAAUAUAAUACUGCUGCGUAUAAAAAUACACUUUUUAUCUUAGGGAGAUUCUCUAACCGACAACCAUCACAUAAGAGUUAGAGUGAUGAUAUAGCUGUCUACCGCACACUACUAGCACAUACUAUACCCGGCCAAAGGUAUGGGACCUGAACUACCUAAUGGAUCCACUAGUUAACUUUGAAAAAGCAUUAUCUAAAAAGUACGACCCUUUUCUACCUAUGCUGGCAAACAUGGUUUAUGGGGGCUGUGAGUUAUCUGAACUCUCCCCCAUAUCGAUAUCCAAUAAUACUCCCAAAGAUGUAAUGGAUCUUAUGUUUAAAAACAUAUGGAUUAUGUGGUUUGAGAUUAGUUCUCAAAACUUAGCUUUUUUAAAAAGCUUUCUUGGAAAUAAUAGUUUCCUUUUUCUUCCAUUAAAGCUAGCCAUAGGCUAUGUGGAAGUCUAGAUUCCCUUCCUUCUCACAAAUUUGAAAACAUUUUUUUAAAUACUUAGGGAAUACUUAGUUCCCUUAUAACUCUUUUGAAGUGAACUCAACUUGAUACUCUUUGCUUACUUGAAACAUUAACUCUUAGGGAAUACUUAAUUCCUUUAUAGCUUUUAAGACAUGAACUCAACUCUUUACUCUUUCUUGAGUUGAACUUUAAGUCUUUUAAAAAAAGUGAAAACGUUCGUUCAAGACUUCAGAAAACAUGAUAACUUUACUUUGACUCGCUUCUUAACUCCUAGACUAGUCUCUUAACAUCAUUGACUUUGAUCUUAACUUUCCUUGAAUUGGAUUAUGGAUUCAAGGAUCAUGAUCUCAUGUUUAUGGAUAAUUUUAUGAUGUUUAGAUGUUAUCUAGAGUGUUGGAAUCAACUAAGAAUGAAGGGUACAUCACUUAGGAACUAGUAUGAAAAGAUAGUGAAAAAUGAGGUUUCUAGGGGGUCCUGGCGCUCAGAGUGGCGCGGAGCGCCAUAGCCUGAUGGACAGAGCCUGUCCUUAAGCUCUUUGAGAGGCGCGAUGCACUCUGAGAGCGCCAUAGCCUUACAGACACACUCUGUCUUGAAAUGCUUUGGAGGCGCGGCGCCCCAGUGUCUCUCCAACGGGUUUUCCGACUUUAUUCUUUGUUUUCAUCUCCUGUCCUUCCCAAACUACCAUGGAUCACACCCAAAAACUUAGGAUCCCUAAAUAACUUAUUACCCAAUAGUUUAGACCUAGAAACAGCUUGGAAACAUGGAUUAAAACUAACAUGAAUCAACAACAAUUCAACCAACAAGAACUUUAAACUUUCAUCAAGAACUUUAAGAUUUCCUUUCAAUUAACAAUAAAUUUCAGUAAUGAAUUAAAUAGGAGGAUGGUUGAAAGAACCCAACACCGAUUGAUAUCACAUUCCUUAUUAGGGAUAACCCCAUGAAAUCCACGAACGAAUUCUUGGAAUUCUUGCAUCUUCUUCUUCCUUCUUUUAAUUUCUCCUUUAUCUCAAAGCUCAAUAUUACUUUAUAAGUGUGUAAACUGAAUGGGAUCGGUUUAGACCCCAACAUCUUACCCCAGAAACAAUUUAGUAAUAAAGUUAGGAAAUGACCAAAACACCCUUAACAAAUCCCGAUUUGGAACUUUCCCUACAAAACAACCCAACUUUCGAAAGUGAUAUCUCCCUCAUACGACCCCAUAAAUUCACAAACAUGGAGUCAUUCAAAAGAUCUUUCGAUGAGUUUUCCAUCCAUAUAAAGAAUUCACCCAAAAUCUUCCUGAGCUAGGAAUUAUGGCCAUUUGAAAAUUGACCAAAACUCACUUUUGAAAUCUGGAAAUUUUCCUGAUUUCCUUACUUAUUUCCAAAUUAGAUUCUUCUUAUAUUUAUUAGCUUAACCUUAGGUUUUCUAGAAUACUAGAUGUUAAAAUAUCUACCCCUUGGGAACAUUCGUCCUCGAAUGAGAAUUCUUUCUCUAAGCUAACGAUAGUAAUUAUCAUUUCAGUACUCAACCACAAAAGUAAGUAGUAACAUGCUUAUGCAUAAUCUUAUAAAGUGCUAAGAAGAUAGUUUAGUACCUUAAUUUGUAUUCUCUUUGGAUUCAAAUAGAUGUGGAUAUCUCUUAUUCAUAUCCUCCUGUGCUUCCCAUGUGUCUUCUUCAACAAAUUGGUUCCUCCAAAGGACCUUGACUGAAGCAACUUCUUUUGUCCUCAACUUGCAAACUUGCUGAUCCAAAAGCUGGACCUGAACUUCUUCAUCGGAUAAUUUGUCCUUAAUCCCCACAUUCUCUGUUGGUAAUAUAAAUUAAAGAAUUCCAAUUACUUAUUCAUUGAAAUAUGGAAUACCGGAUGAACCGCUUCUAACUUUUGGGGUAGGUCAAACUCAUAAGCUACAUUGCUCACACUCUUGUUGAUUCUAUAAGGUCCAAUAUAGUGGGGAAUAAGUUUACCCUUCUUAACAAACCUCAUAACUCAUUUCAUAGGUGAAACCUUUAGAUAAACCCAAUCAUCUACCUCAAACUCUUAUGGCCUUCUUAUAACAUCUGUGUAGGACUUUUGGUGACUUUUUGUUAUCUUCAGCCUUUAAUGAAUAAGUUUCACCUUAUCCAUAGCUUGGUGAACUAAAUUUUGUCCUAUCAACCCUACUUCUCCAACUUCGAACCACCUAAUAAGAGAUCUACGUCUUCUCCCAUAAAAAGAUUCAUAUGGGGCCAUUUAGAUUCUCGAAUGAUAGCUAUUGAUGUAAGCAAACUCAAUGAGCGAUAGGUGAUCGUCCCAAUUUUCGUUGAAGUCGAUCACACAAGAUCUCAACAUAUCUUCUAAGGUUUGUAUAUUAUGCUCUGCUUUUCCAUCUGUCCGAGGAUGAAAAGCAGUGCUAAAAAUUCACCUUACAACCCACCUUUCUAGGAAGAUUUCAAGAAUUGUGCACCUCUAUCUGAAAUAGUGGAGAUCGGAACCCAAUGAAGUCUUAUCACUUUUUGAAGGUGCAACAUAGCAUAAUCCUCAGCAGAAUAGGCAGUCUUGACCGACACGAAACAGGCUGACUUUGUCAUUUUGUUGACAAUCACCCAAAUGGAAUCAUGUUGUAUUCACGAUCUUAGCAAGCCUGUGAUGAAUUCCAUAUUUAUCAUCUCCCACUUCAAUUCCAGAAGCUCUAUCCUCUGAUCUAAACCUCUAGGCCUUUGGUGUUCAACUUUCACUUGCUGACAAUUAAAACACUAUGCAACAAACUCAGCAGUAUCCUUCUUCAUGCCUUCCCACCAAUAUAGCUCUCUAAAAUCAUGGUACAUUUUGGUGGCAACUGGAUGAAUGGAAUAUUUGGAGAUAUGAGACUCCUCCAAGAUUCUUUCUUGUAGUCCAUCAAUAUGAGGUACAAAUAAUCUGCCUUGGUAUUUCAGCACACCAUCUCCCCCUUGUUCAAAGGCCAAUACUCUUUGUCUAUGGACACUUGCCUUCAAAUCAAGAAAAAUAGGGUCUUGGUCUUGAUUCUCUUUCAUCUCGGACACCAAUGAUGAUUCAUCCCCAUUAGUCACCCCUAUGCCUCCUUCUAUGGAAUCCAUAAGUCUUACUCCAGUCGUGCAAAUCUGUGAACAUCUUUUACUAACUCCUUCUUUUCUUCUUCGACAUUAAUAGUACUUCCCAUGAAAAACCUGCUUAAGGCAUCAUCAUUCACAUUAGCCUUACUUGGGUGGUAAAGAAUACUCAUGUCAUAAUCCUUGAGUAAUUCCAACCACAUUCUUUGUCUGAGGUUGAUCUCUUUCUGAGUGAAACAUAUUGGAGGCUCUUUUGAACAGUGAAUGUAUCCAGAUGAACUCCAUACAAAUAGUGAUGCCAUAUAUUCUACACAAACACUACUAUAGCUGAUUGUAAGUCAUGAGUUCGAUAAUUCUUCAUAUGAACUUUCAACUGUCUAGAGUCAUAAGCUAUAGCCUUGCCGUUCUGCAUUAACACACUGCCCAAGCCAACUCUUGAUGUGUCACAAUACACCACGAAUCCUUGAGUACCAUCUGGCAAGGUCAAAACUGGAGUUGUAGUCAAUCUCUUUUUCAACUCCUAAAAUCUUUUAUCAGAAGCUUUAGACCAUUGAAACUUUACUUUCUUCUAUGUUAACUUGGUUAAAGGAGAGAAGAUAGAUGAGAAUCCAUCAAUAAAUCUCCUAUAAUAGCCAUCCAAACCCAAGAAAAUCCUUAUAUCUGUUGGAGACGUGGUUCUAGCCCAACUCUGAACUACCUCAAUGUUCUAAGUGUCAAAUUUUAUACCUUUUGUCACAACCGGAGUCUAGACCCUGAUGAGACCGGGGUCGUUGACCUCUCAGAGUUCGCAGACAAGCCUACGUACAUCAUCGUAACAUCAUCUAGGUUAAUUUUAGCGGAAAAUUUAAACUUUUUGUUCGUUAACAUUCAUAUAAGACAUUUUACUUAAACUCAUGAACGUUUACAAUCAACCAUCUAAAAUUAAGAUCAUCAAAUGAAAGAAAUAGUUCUAUACUGCAUUAAGUGUAUACUUUCAAAAAUGGCACCAAGAUAAUGUCUGAAAUAAGAUGAGAAAGAAACGCUAGUGGAACAUACUCCACUAAAUCAAACGUAUAUCUAAUCUAGAAUAUAAUGGGAAAGCAUCCUCGAAAGAAGGAGGUCCUACAAAAUCCGAAUGAAUGCUCCACGUCUGGAUAGCUUCAGUGUCAACCUGUAAGCUCUAAUAUCCACCUGUGCCUGCACCUAAAAAUGUUGAGUGUAUGGGAUUAGUACACACUUGUACUAAGUAUGGUUAUAUGCAAGCACACACCAAGGACAUGCAUGAUUAAGAAGAUCUCUUUCCUAUCGAUAUGAAUUAUCGAAUAUCAAGUCAGUGGACUUGCAAAAUUUUGAUUAGGAAAGUCAUGCCAUGAGAGUGACAUGCAUCAUCAUACUUAUCAUUUUGCAAUCAACACAUAACAUAUUACACAUAUCAUAUCACGUAGUUCAUAUCAUUAUUUCAUAUGCCAUGAGAACUUGGAAUCAUGGACUUGACAUUAGGACUUCCCAAAAUGAGGGCUCAACAUAUGGGACCUCAACUAGGUAGCUUUCUUCAGCAAACACAGAGUCUGCUUUAUUCGUUCAUACGUACUUCAUUUUCAUUCAUUCAUAUACUAGUGCAAUCAGCAGUCAUACCUAGGAUGCAGUUUAAGACUCUAAUCGGUUUUGCUGUGCAAUGACCAAGAAUAACCUAAUGUCACUACUUAAGUCUAGCUCACCUCUUGAUUAUCCUAUCCUAAAACCUUUGGUACCGUUCAUUCAUUAGGUGCAUCAUUUGAGGCUGGCCUUAUUCUUUCUUUGGUAACUUUAACCUUAACCGACAUAGAUCAUGUGAGGAUAACUAAAUCCAAUGUCUGCCACAUACCAAAAAGACGUGGAAUCACCGGCCAAAGUGACCCAAACAUGCUAGCGUUUAUAGAGAGUCGAAUCCUGCUAGAUACCUAUAUUGGCAGUAUAGGUUCAAAGACUAGGAUCUAUAAGGAGAUCCAUACUCGUCAUGCUGGACAGUCUCAUCUCAUGAGAGUUAUGUGAACCACCGCCCUUUCCGAAGGAAGGCAUCACCGCUCAUAGCUAGCCUAUCGGUGCUCUGUAUAAAGUUUCAUUACAUUCAACUCAUAAAUCAUGGAAGAUGGCUUCUAGAAUGAGGACAUCAUAUCUCAUUAGAUAAUUUCUCAUCUCAUCAUUAGCAUUAAGUAUGCAUAACUCCGAUACUUUCAUUAGUCUGUUUAUAGGGACUGAUCUCUUCAUUAACUUUACACUCUCAUAGGUGAGUACGUUUUGGUAACAUUUACAUAGGCUCAUUUGAGAUUGAUCUCAUAUUUCACAUUAGUCUCUUAUCAUAUUGUAACCUCAUUCAUUAACUUUAACACAUUUACUUUUCAUAAUUACUCACCCCUUCACAUGAAUUUUCAUUUCAUCAUAUGUCAAUGCACUUGGCAAUUUAGUGUGUUUCACACUCUUACUUAACCCUUCUAGGGUUACAUCAUUUUCUCACAUACAUCUUAGACUCACUUACUUUUAAACGUAUUCUAGACUUAUGAGUGCACACAUACAAGUCAUGAGGCUUCAUUCAUAGUUAUUCUAUGUGAUUCAUGUUUACCCAAGAUUAUUUGGUACAAGACUUAUGCAUCUUUUAGAUAUGCCAUGAUAUUGAUUUCAAUCUUUAGAGGCAACAUACAUUAAAUAUUUACUUAUGUAUGACUUAUGUGUCAAUACGGAAUUGGUCAAGGGAACCCUAUUUCGAAUCCCUUGGACAACACUUAAUCUUAUUUUAAACUUGAUAAUUGCAUUUUCUAGAUUUGGGGGAGCCUAGUUCGAUUCUCAUCAACCCCGUAAUAUUUCCUUUUUGUUUCUCCUAUACUUUUUCUUUUAAGUCAAGGAGGUUAUGGGUUCAAUCCCCCACAAACUUAUUAUUUUUCUUUUAAUUUAUCUCUUAACUUUCUCACCUAUCCAAGAGGUUGUGGGGUCAAUCCCCACUCUCCAAAUUUAUUUUUUCCUUUAUUUUUCUCCUAACUCUCUCAUCUAUUCAAGAGGUUGUGGGUUCAAUCCCCACUCACCACAUAUAUUUUCCUUGCAUUUUUAUCACGAAAUUUUUAUGAAGUUUUUAUUUGGUGAGGUCAUGGGUUAAAUCCCCAAUGAGCUUACAUUUUAAAAAAAUUUUAAUUGAAUUUAAUAUUUUUAAAAGUUAGUCUCCUCAAUCCAUUUUUGCCUUAAUCUUUUGAUGAUUUUUUUGUAGCUUUCAUGUAAUGUUGUCUUGGAUUCGAUCCUUAGUGAUUUCACUUAUUUUAGAUUCAUUUUUCAUUGCAUUUUAUAUUACUUUGAUUGGCUGAACACAACCUAACAAAUGUUGGAAACUUGUUCACUAUUUGCAGCUCCUUUUAUCAGCAUUUUUUCAUUAGAUCAUAGGACGUUUGAUGAAACAUUUGGUGCAUAUUAAAGUAUAUUUUAUUCCUGUUUAUAUUUAUCCAAGAAUUACCUUUAAAUCCAGCAACAUUACACCACUUUUGCACAUCAUGAUUUACACAAACAUUUGCACAAACAUCACUUUUCACAUACUUUCUGUUGGCAUAAAUUGAUAUAUGCUUACAAUUCCAAACACAUAAUCAUGAACACAUUAUCACGAAAAUCACACUUCAUACUCAAAUUACCACAAAAAAUACCAACAACAUGAUCUCUAGCCUAUUUCAAAUUGAUAUUAGAAGGAUACUAGGGACAAGGAGUUUGACAAGAACGGGAACAACCCUAGUUUCAAAAUUCGUUGAAUUCGUGGAAAGGAAAUUCUCUUGGAGAAAGGAGUCCAGGAGAGAAACCCAUACUUUAAUUUUGUGUUUUUCAACACAAGAACUGCUUUCUAAAACCCUCUCCAAAUUCAUAUCCAUGUCCCGAAACUUCAACACAAAACUCGAUGGAAAACCCUUCUUUUUGCUUUACGUAUUUGGUUAACUUUUUGUCUAUGUUUUUGACGUGUAAAUUCAUCAAGUAUGAAGAAAUUUUGGUUGUGUUUUCGGUGCUUGUAUUUUGUUAGAAAGUAUACGCAAAAGUGAGAGAAUUGAUCGUGAAAGAGAAAGGAUAAACGCGAGAAGUCAGUGGUUCCUUAGGAUAAGGAUUGUAGUUUUAGAUUUAGUCAAAAUAAGGUUUUGUUAGAUUGUAAAAAUCAAAUUUAUUUAAAUCACACGUGAAAUGACCUUAUUUCCCUUACAAAAAAAUCAGAUUCUAAACCCCAUUUUAAUUCACAUGGCAAUGCUUCCGUCGAGGAUCAAACCCGUGACGUCCCCAUCGCGAAAACAGGUCCCUUCGGAUCGACCCAACUCAAACUGCCCCAUUAAUUAAUUAAUUAAUUAAUUGAUAAUAAUAAUAAUAAUAUGAUUUUACUUUUUCUUAAAUCAGAAUUUAAAUAUUAAUUAAUUAAAUUAAUUCUCCAAUAUAAAUAAUCAAGUUAAAUCAUUGCUCCCACCUAGGUUCGAACCCGGGUGGAGCAACAUUUUUCUCAAUGGGUAAUUUCAGCCCUUUCUACCCAAAAUGCCCCUCCACCAUAUUAAUGAAAUAAUUCAUUACAUAUUUAGGAUAAUUACGAUACUACCCUUAGCCUUGAAAAAGACCAUUUUACCCAUACAUCCUCCAAACAUAAGAUUUCCCCUUUUUUUUAAGUCCGGUAUAGAAUCAUGCGGGUAAAUCUUCAUAUUCAGGAGCCCUACAUGGAUGGAACCAACCUUUCAUAACUCAAAUAAAUCCCCACGUUAGGUUGUUUGUCUGUAGCAAGGGUUCAGAGGGUCUCGUUCUACACGCAUCAAUUCGUGUGAAACUGAUAUAUUCGUAGGCAUUCUAGACACACUAAACGUUACUUAGCAUAUUCAUUUUUAGGGUUGUUACACCUUCACCCGAAACAAUAGGGCCUAAGAAGUCCACAGACAAGCCAAAACUCAAAUUUUGAUAACUUGUCAUACAUCUCCUUAUCUCUCAACAUCUGAAGAACAACCCUUACGUGACUCGCAUAAUCUUCUUCAUUCCUUUAAUUAAUCAGUAUGUCACAAAUGAAGAUGAUGACAAAAAUAUCUUAAUAAGGCUUGAAGAUUCUGUUCAUAAGAUCCAUGAAUGUUGUAGCUGCAUUUGUCAAACAAAAGGACAUAAUCAAAAAUUCUUAACGCUCUUACCUUGUUCUAAAAGUUGUGUUGGGAAUAUUACAUUCCCUUACUCUCAGCUGAUGAUAGCCUGAUUUGAGGUCAAUCUUAGAAAAGCAAGAAGCACCCUGAAGUUGAUCAAAAAAGUCAUCUAUCCUUGGAAGAGAAUAUUGUUCAUGAUAGUCACCUUAUUCAGCUAACGCUAAUCUAUACAUAUCCGAAGGGACCCAACCUUGUUCCUCACAAACAAGAUCAGAGCUCCCCAAGGUGAGACAAUUGGUCAAAUAAAAACUUUAUCUAAAAGAUCUUGUAACUUCUACAUUCGCUCUAUUAACUCUACUGGUAGCAUUUUGUAUGACGGAAUAGAGAUAGGACGAGUAUUUGGGAUGAUUUUUAUACCGAAGCCUAUCUCACUUUUGGGAGGGACUCCAGGUAGUCAUCAGGAUAGACUUCUAGAAACUCACUGACUAUAGGAACUGAAUUAAGGGAAGAUACCUCAACUAACUUAUAAAUACACCUCUUGUAAACUAACUUCCUUGCCUUAAGUACAAAAUGAAUCGACCCUUAGGCCCUGAUAAACUACUAGCCCACUCUAUGACUGGAUCAUUAGGACUAUGAAACUUGACAACUGGAGUUCUUUUUUUUAUUGAUGCAUAACAGACAUGGAGUCAGUCCAUACCUAGAAUAAUAUCAAAAUCUACCAUGCCUAACUCUACUAGACUAGCCAUGGUACUCUUGUGACUGACAAAAAUAGGACAAUCACGAUAGACCCUUUCUGCCUAAAAUUGAUUCACCAAAAGGUGUCGAUACACUAAAUGGUUCGAUAUCUAGCUCAGGAGAAAUCUCAAAGUUCAUAGCCACAUAAGAAGUUACAAAAGAUAAACUAACUCCUAGAUCUAAUAAUGAAUAAGCAAUAAUGUGAAAGACUCAAAUCAUACCAGUGAAAAUAUCUGGAAAACUCUUUAGUACAUGGCAAUUAUUAUGAGCAUACAAGCAGUUUGUUCCUCCACCUGUUCCAGAAGUAGUUCCCCUAGGUGCAAGCUUGUUUGGUGGAGCAACUGAUGAAUAUUGAGCUCUAUUGCCCAGAUUUCCACCUCCUUGCUUGUCGUUGGGGCACUCUCCAAUGAAGUGACCCUCUUGGAUACAUUUGAAACAACCUGUGAAUCCUUCAUGAUAGAUGACAAAGUGAUUCCUACCACACUUGGCGCAGGCAUGAGGCUUAGUACAUUCUUACGCCAUUCUACUUUUAGAUUUAUCCGGCCUAGCUUUGAAUUUCUGCGAAUUCUGGCCACUAUACUCACUUCGGUUUCUUGGUACAGGUGCACUAGCAAAUGAUAACCAUGCCAUUUGGCUUAUCGAAUUGUGGUCAGCUUGAACCACCUUUUUUUUACCAGACUCAUUCCAGUCUUAGCCUUAUUGUUUCGGUACUCUUCUAUAUCCUUAACGUUCUCUUCUUCAACUUGUUGGAUAAAAACCAUCGGUAUGGAUAUGUCCAUAUCACCUAUCAACAUGGCAACCUACCUUCCUUACUUGAAAUGCGACCUAACCCUGUAAUAAAUAGAAUCAUCUGCUCCUUAUGUCUUUCACUGUCUUUGGAGAAUAGUGAGAUAGUUGGGUGAACUGUAUCCCUUACUCUUGUACACUAAUGGAGUCAUGUUUCAGAGUAAUGAACUCCCGCACCUUGGGUUCCUUCAGUUCACAAAGAAAGAACCUCCCCAAGAAUGCUUCUUUGUGACAAGACCAACUUGGACGUGGUGAAUGCUCAACUCUACCAUCCUCCUAUUUAUCAAACAAGGUUAUACCACACCUUUUAGUUUAUAUGCAUGCUAUUCAACCCUCUCAAUAUCUACCACAUCCCUCUUUAACUUCUCCACAAAGUUCUCUGGAUUCUCAGUAGGGCUUGAUCCAGUGAAACUAGGAGGGUUCUUACUCAAAAACUCGCGAACUCUCGAGUUAUCAACUCCUUCUUGUCGAGAUGCUCUCUGUUGCCAAACUUGGUCGGUCACAACUUGAAUUAACAUCCGGAUAGCUUCCCAAAAUUUGUCACUGGUAACCUCUCCUUGGUGUUACGCCUCUAGUGCAUUUGGAACUGCUGGUUCAUUUGCAUUACUUCGUAGCCAACCUAUUAUUGCUCUUCUUGGAGGAAUGAUAAUCGGAAAAAUAUAUGUAAGCAUAAAUAAGUGUGAGACUUUAAAGAUAAACUCUUCGCACGAUAGGAACAUGAAAUAAAGGAAACAUUACUAAUGUUUUAGCGUCCUAAUCAUAGAUGUGGCACGCUUCACGUGAAUGACUAAGACAACUUCAUAGACACCGUAGGAUUCUUGAAACCUGGCUCUAGUACCAAGUUUAUCACGCCUCGAGCCUACACCCUAGGCGGGACUGGCGCUCGAAGAUCAUUGAUGAACCUCAAGUGAACCCUUGACCUGGCUUACUUAACUCAGCAGAAGACAAAAAUCAUCUUAAACAAUAAAUAACACAUGUUUAAAGGAAACUACUUCAUAUAAUAUUUAGCUAUGAUGACACUUAAGGCUCAACAAGAAAUAAUAAACUCUAAAUUGAAAUACUAGCGUCUAUGAAGCCUCUAAACUCACUGAAAAGGGAUGUUGGGAAAGACCCCACAACAUCCUAAAAUUAAACUACUAAAAACAAAACAAAUGGAUAUCCUCCGCAUUGCAUUGAGAAUCACCACUGACUCUGGAGCUCAAUCUGGAUCAAUGAAACGCUUCGUACUGAUCCAAGUUACUUGCGUCUGCAUCAUAAAAUGAUGUAGUCCAACUGGCAUCAGUACAUUGAAUGUAUGAGUAUGGGAGUUGGAAAACUAUACAAAACUUAAGCUUUAAAGGGAGUAAGAAAUAAGACUUACCUUGGCUCUGUUCAACUCAUGAUCCACUAACUCUUAUUCAAUAUACGCAGUUAAAAUAAAUGCAAUAUAAAGAAAUUCUGACUGAUAACAUGCUUAAUCCUCUAAGUAAUAUAUACAAGUACAAAACAAUGUGAAACAUGUAUAUAAAAUACAAUAAAUAGGUUUUAUGAAAAUACAAUAAUGUUGUGUAUAAAAAUACAAUUUUUUACCCGAGGGAGAUUCUUUAAUUGACAACCAUAACUUAAGAGCUAGAGAGAUGAUAUAACGGUCUACCGCAUGAUGCCAGCACAUCCUAUACCCAACCAAAUUUAUAGGACCUGAACUGCCUAAUGGAUCCACUAGUAAACUGUGAAAAAGAAUUGUCUAAUAAAUAUGACCCUUUUCUACCCAUGGUGGCUAACAUAAUUUAUGGGGCUUGUGAGUUAUCAGUAAUCUCCCCCAUAUCGGUGCUCAAUACUACUCCCCAAAAUAUACUAGCUCAUAUAUUUAAAAAUAUGAUGAUUCUGUGGUUUGAUAUUAGUGCUCAAAACAUAGCUUUUUUCAAAAAGAUCUCUUGGAAAUCAUAAUUUCCUCUUUCUUCUAUUAAAGCUAGCAAUAGGAUUUGUGAAAGUCUAAAUUCCCUUCCUUCUCAAAAGUUUGAAAACAUUUUGUUUAAAUCCCCUAGUUCCCUUAUAACUCUUGGGAAGUGAACUCAACUUGAUUCUCUUUGCUUACUUGAAACUUAACUCUUAGGGAAUACUUAGUUCCCUUAUAUCUUUUGAGAAAUGAACUCAACUCUUCUUUCUUGACUUUUACUUUAAUACUGUUAAACAAAGUGAACACGUGAUAAAGACUUUAGAAAAUUUUAUAAUCUUACUUUGACUCGCUUCUUAACUUUAAGACUUGGCACUUAACUUCCUUGACUUUGAUCAUAACUUUCUUUAUAUCGGAUUAUGGAUUCAAGGAUCAUGAUCUCAGUUUUAUAGAUAAUUUCAUGAUGUUUAGAUGUACUCUAGAGCGUCGGAAUCAACUAAGAAUGAAGGAUACAUCACUUAGGAACUAGUACGAAAAAAUAGGAAAAAAAACGGGGUUUCCAGGGGAUCCUGGUUCUCUGAGAGGCGUGGAGAGACAUACACUGACGGACAGAGGCUGUCCUCCGGUGCUCGAAGAGGCGAGGAUCACCUUUUUCCUGAUGGAAAAACUCUGUUACAGGCGCUGUGUAGGAGUGGCUCCACAACAUCUCUCUAACGAGUUUUUCUACUUUCUUCUUUUUAUUUCAUCUCUUAACCUUCCCAAACUCCCAUGGAUCCCACCCCAAACACUUAGGAUACCUAAAUAACUUAUUAUACAAUAGUUUAUACCUAAAAACAUUCCUGAAAUAGGGAUUGAAACAAACAGAGAUCAACAACAAUUGAACCAACAAGAACUUCAAACUUUUCAUCAAGAACUUCAAGAUAUCCUUUAAAUUAAUGUUAAAUUUCAUUAAUGAAUUAAAUUGGAGGGUAGGCGAAAGAACCCAACACCAAAUGAUAUCAAAUACCUUUUUAGGAUCACCCCCGAUGAAAUCCACGAAUGAAUUCUUUGUAUUCUAGCGUCUUCUUCUCCCUUCUCGUUUUUCUCCUUUCUCUCAAAGCCAUAGCUUAUUUUCAAAGUGUGUAAAUUGACUCAUAUCAGAUUAAACCCAACAUAUUACCCAAAUAAUGAAUUUAAUAAUUAACUUAAGAAAAGACUAAACACCGUUAACAAAUCCAGAUUUAGACUUUUUCCCUACUCAACAGCCCAACUUCCGAAAGUCAUAUCUCCCUAUGCCCUAGGAAAUUCGCAAACUUGGCAAAGUGGGAAAGAUCUUCCGAUGCAAUUUCAUCCAUAUAAAGAACUCACCAAAACUCUUCCUGAGCUGGGAAUUAUAGUCAUUUUCCUUACUUAUUUCCAAAUUUGGGUUUUCUUGUUUUUCUUAGGUUAACCUUAGCUUAUCUAGAGUAAGAGGUUUCACAAUAUAUCCCCCUUGGGAAAAUUUGUCCUCGAUGGAGAAUUCUUUUUCUAAGAUAUGUAUACUAAUUAUAAUUUCAUCACUCAACAACAAAAGUAAGUAGUAACAUGAUUAUGCAUAAUCUUAUAAAGUGCUAAGAAGAGGGUUUAGUACCUUGAUUUGCAUUCUCUCCGGAUUCAAAGAGAUGUGGAUAUCUCUUCUUCAUAUCCUCCUGUGCUUCCUAAGUGGCUUCUUCAACAAAUUGUUUCCUCCAACGAACCUUGACUGAAGCAACUUUUUUUGUCCUCAACUUGCAAACUUCACAAUUCGAAAUAUGGACCGGAAGUUCUUCAUCGGAUAAGUUGUCCUUAAUCCCCACAUUCUCUAUCUGUACUAUCAAUGAAGGAUCACCCAAACACUUUUUCAACAUUGAAAUAUUGAAUACUUGAUGAACCUCUUCUAACUCUUGGGGUUGCUCCAACUAAUAAGCCACAUUGCCCACUCUAUUGGAUUCUAUAAGGCCUAAUAUACCGGCUACUAAGUUUCUUCUUCUUACCAAACAUCAUAACUCUUUCAUAGGUGAAACCUUAAGAUACACCCAAUUGUCUACCUCAAACUCUAAUGUCCAUCUUCUAACAACGGUUUAGGACUUUUGGCGACUUCGUACUGUCUUCAACCUUUGUUGAAUUACUUUCACCACCUCCAUAUCUUGAUGAACUAAAUCUUGUCCUAUCAACCCUGAUUCACCAACAUCAAAACACCCAAUAGGAUAUAUGCAUAUUCUCCCAUAAAGAGCUUCAUACGGGGCUAUUUGGACGCUCAAAUAAUACCUAUUGUUGUAAGCGAACUCAUUGAGAGGUAGGUCAUCAUCUCAAUUUCCCUUGAAGUCGAUCGCACAAGCUCUCAACAUAUCUUCUAAGGUUAGGAUAGUAAGUUCUGCUGGUCCAUCUUUCUGAGGAUGAAAAGCUGUGCUCAAAUUCACGUUGGAACCUAAACCUUUUGGGUAUGAUUUCUAGAAUUGUGAAGUAAAUUAUGCAUAUCUAUUUAAAAUAAUGGAGAUUGGAAAUCCCUGAAGUCUUAUGACUUUUUCAAGGUACAACUUAGCAUAAUCCUCAUGUACUGACUCACAACUAUCUCCCUAGAAGUUUGGAGAAUCCUUGGAUCAUCACAAGACGUAGUUGAUCCUUUGGGUUCUUCUACAAGCCUUUUUAACUAUCGUUCAUUACAUAAGUCAUGAAGAGUAGUGUGGAAUUAAAACUUUUCAUGUGAUUUAAUAUAAAAAGGAAUUAUUUCAUAUAUACUAAGAAAAUCUCAUCGUCACAAGCCAAACACAAAGCGAAAACAUAAUAUCUUAGGGACACGACCCUUUACAUUUGAAAGAAACUACAUAAUAAGUCUUAAUGACAAGAUUAAGAAACAUAGAUUAUGUCCUCAAAUAUAUGAGGACAUACCAAGUCUUGAGUGAGUAGAUUCAAAAGCUUCGCAUUCUAGACUUCUCCUUUGUUCCAAACCUAUAUUUAUAGAGUAUAUAAAAGAUGGGGUUAGUACAAAUAAUGUACUAAGUAUGGCAUAUGCAAAAACAUGCAAAAGGGGACAUUUUAAGAUAAAUACAUUUUCAUGCCAAUUAAGUAAAAAAAUUCAUGAAUAUAGAAGGAAACUACUAUAUAGAUAAUCAUUUAACACUUAGGAAAGGAUUUCCAUAAUUUUUAACAAAAAGGACCAAGUUAAAGUAAACUACCCAAAAGUUACAGUGAGCUCAUUUUUGCAUUACAGUGAAACCAUUUUAGAAUUACAGUGAGCUAUUUUUAAUCCCCAAAAAUGUGAACUCCAAAGUCAAUCAAAGAGGAAGUGAACUCAUUUCCGUAGAAGUUUCCCUACCUAUGGUUAUCCUAAGACUCACCAAGGCAAGACAUGAAGUAAAAGCCCAUACACCUCCUUCAAUACACACCUAGGUAAUCCCAAGACUAGCCCUUCUAGGCUUAUUCGCCUCGGGAGAAGAAUUCCCCAAUCAAAGACAAGAUAUUAGAAGAACACUUAAAAACUUCACAUAAGACAAAGCAAGAUUCCCCUUUUAGAAUGCUUACUUAGUGCAAUGAGUAGAUGGCGUCCCAUUCAACCACCUACCCUAAGUAGUACCCUCUUUUAAAAGACAUAGCUUAUUCAAUUCAUAUAAGACUCACCAAGACUACCCUUCGGAAUGCCUACCUAGUGGAAUGAAUACAUGGCGUGCUAUUCCACCACCUACCCUAAGUAGUACACUCUUUUACAGGACAUAGUACUUUUAAUUCAUAUAAGACUCACCAAGACUUCCCUUUCGGAAUGCCUACAUAGUGCAAUGAAUAAAUAGCGUCCCAUUCCACUACCUCACCUAAGUAGUGGAUUCUUUUAGAAGACUUAGUACUUUCAUUACUUUUGUUAGGGUUAGCUUAAUUAACAUAGACCAUGAGAUCUAGAUGUGUAAUCCUGAUAUUAACUCCUAUCGGAUGAGGUAUCCUCACUUGCCUAGAGUAAGGUCAUUCUCUUAAAUUUUACGUGGCUUUCCCAAUAGUUACACGUAUGCAGGCACAUAGUUAAGGGAUAAGGAGAUUGCUACUAAUUAACUCAUUGUCUACAAACGAGGGGUACUCAUCUCAAGAGGUACAUUAGAAUACAAAAUCUCAAUUUACAAAGUGUAACCACCCCUUCUUCAUAUCCUCUUGAUGCUAGGAUUAACUCCCUACAGUUUCUAGACACUUAAAAUAUAUAUGCCUCAGUUAUAAAUGCAUAAUUACCAGAUUAGUUAUUGCAUUCUUAGUUUGCAUGUUCAGUUUCAAGUUACCAAGUAUUUAUAGAAACUCAGACAUAAUCAAUAAAUUUACAGAAUUCAUUGGGAGUAGCAUAAUACUGAGUUGGACUAGGGUUCAGCGUACCCAUUUAGUCCCAGAACUACUAGCCAAGUAGAUUGUAAGUCCCCUCUGUGGGCAAUCAGUUUAGUGAUCAUGCCAGCAUGCCUUUAAACCUCUAUCUGGGUAUAUUGGGUCCUCUCGAUGGGCCUUAUACAUCAGACUCCAUAUUUAACUCAAGUAGUUUUACCGUUGGUUAUUAGUAGCUCCCAUAUUUCAGUCAGACUCUCUACAUUGACCAUUUAUCAGUAUAUGUAGUAUUCAGUCUCAGAAUGUUACAAAUUGGUCACCGCAUCGAGUUAUCUCAGAAAUUAGCAUAUCAUGUAGAGAUUAUUAUACAUUCUUUUGUGCUUAUUCAAUUAUGUUUUAUUUCAGCUUUACUCUAUCCUACAUACUCACUACCUUUCAAGUACUAACGCAUACGUGCCUACAUCUUCUCGUGAUGUACGUUUAAGUUCUUAGCAUCUAGAUCAAGCAUAGAUCAAUUAUAUGAUCUCCUGUUCAGCAGAUUUAGUGGUGAGUCCUUAUUCUCCAAGGACAAUAGUCAUGAGUGUCAUUUUAGUCUGUAGUAAUUUCAUUUUAGGUUUUGCUACAUUUAGUUGGGGCUUGUUCUAGUAUUUCUAAUCUAGUUUAGAGGCUUAUGUCAGACAUAGUAAGUUUGAGCAUAGUGUGGAGUUAGUAACUUUAUAGUAUUAAACUCAUCAUUCUUCAUAUUAUAUCUAUUUUAGCAUGCGGGUAUUCCCCAUUUUUUCAUUAUAAGUUAUUCUUUAGCUUCUACAUCAUCUUAUUAUCUUUAGUAUGAUCAUGAUCAUGCCAGCAGGGUUAGCUUGGGAUCACUUAUGGUCCUAGUUUUCAUGUCCGCGUCUCGGGGAUAGCUCGUGGCAUGACAAAACAUGGUAUUAGAGAACUAGGUUCAAGAGUCCUAGGAUGUUUAAAAAGCAGCACUAAAUAGAAUCCUUUUCAUGUGUGUGAAGUGCACCACAUCUAGUUAGAGGGAGGCUAUGAAGUUUUUUAGGGAAAACUUCACAUCCUUGUUACUUUUAUCUUGCGUGAGGUAUGAUCUUAUUCCAUUCUAACAUGACAUUAUACUCACAUCAUGCCUCCUCGUAGAGAUAACGCUAGGAAUGCGAACGCCAGAAAUUCAAACGCAACUCCUCAUGCUCCAAAUGAGGAAGUCUCGAUUCUGAGUUCACAAAUGCCAUAUAUAUGUUGGCUCAUAGUAUGACUAACAAGAAAAUCAGGUUCAUGCUCAUAUGAAUGAAAAUGGUGGAUCAUUGGAAGCAAGGGUCCGUGACUUUGUUAGGAUGAAUACUCCUGAGUUCUCGGGAUCGCAAGCUAAUGAGGAUCCUCAGAAUUUCUUGGAUGAGAUCAAGAAGAUCUUUGAGGUAAUGCAACUCAGUGGCAAUGAUCAGGUUGAUUUAGCAUCAUACCAGUUGAAGGAUAUUGCUCAUAUCUGGUACACUCAGUGGAAGGAGAAUAGGGGUGCAAAUGGGGCUCCUAUCACUUGGGAUUGCUUUAGUGAGAAUUUUCUUGACGGGUUUUUCACAAUAGAGUUGAGAGAAGCAAAAGCCCAUAAAUUCAUGAACUUGAGGUAAGGUAACAUGAUAGUCCAAGAGUGUGGGCUGAAGUUUAACCAACUCUCUAGGUAUGCUCCUCACAUGGUUGCUGACUCCAAGGCUCAAAUGAGCAAGUUCUUGAAUAUUCUUAGUAGAAAUCGCGUGGUGGAAAUCACUCGCAGAGUCAACAAAAGUUUUCAGCUCCAGCCCCUUUGUUAGUUAGUGCUCCAUCCUCCAAGAACAGGUAUGACCAAAAGGGUAAAACAUCAAGCUCUAAGUCUCAGGGAGGUGGUUCAGGCACUAAGAUUUACCCAAAUUUCCCUAAGUGUUGUAACAACCAUAAGGGCGAGUGUCUCGCGAGAAAAGAAGGAUGUUUUGGGUGCAGUCAGUCUGGUCACAUGUUGAGGGAUUAUCCUUCUAGACAGGGUUAAGGAGUUGGAAAUUGUAGAACUCAAUCUACAACUUCAGCAGCACUAACAAGUCGCCCAACUCAGUAAGGUAACUCAUCUGGUAUAAGUGGCGGUCAUCGCCAGAACAGGUUGUAUGCUCUUCGGGCUCUCCAGGAUCAAGAAGUUUCUCCUCAUGUAGUCACUGGUACGUUACGAGUCUUUGACCUUGAAGUUUAUUCAUUUUAGAUCCAAGGGCUACUCUUUGUUUUGUAACUCCUUAUAUAGCAGUCCCAUUGAGUGUUAGUCCAGAAACUCUCUCAGAAUCUUUCACAGUCUCUACUCCAUUCGAUGACCAAGUUAUAGCCAGACAAAUAUAUAGAAAUUGCCCUAUCACAGUAUUUUAGAAAGUCACCUCAUCAGAUCUAGUAGAAUUAGAAAUGGUAGACUUCGAUGUCAUUCUAGGCAUGGAUUGGUUACCCUUACAUUAUGCCUCACUCGAUUGUAGAACUAGGAUUGUUCAUUUUAAGUUUCCAGAUGAACCAAUCUUAGAAUGGAAGGGUAGUAGCUUAGCGCAUAUGGGUCGAUUUAUUUCUUAACUUAAGUACAAAUCUCUAUCAUCUAGUUUGAGUAAAGGAUUCUAGCCUUGAAAACCCAACUCUUGAGUCAUUUACACUAGUAUGUGAAUUUCCAGAAGUAUUUCCAUAAGAUCUUCCCAGAGCCCCUCCCGAAAGGGAAAUCAACUUUUGAAUUGAUCUCCUUCAAGAUACCCAGCCUAUUUCUGUUCCUCCUUAUAGAAUGUCUCUAUCAAAGCUUAAGGAAUUAAAAGAGCAGUCGAAAGACCUUCUAUAUAAGGGAUUCAUCAGACCUAGUAUUUCUCCAUGGGGUGCACCAGUGUUGUUCGUAAAGAAGAAAGAUGGUUUUCUCAGAAUCUGCAUUGAGUACAGAUAGUUGAACAAGGUCACAAUCAAGAAUAAUGUAUCCCAUCCCAAGGAUUGAUGACUAGUAAUCUCUCAAAGAUGGACCUCAAAUCGGGUUAUCAUCAUCUUAGAGUUAGAGAUAAUGUUCCAAAAAUAGAAGUUAGAACUCGGUAUGGUCAUUAUGAAUUUGUAGUUAUGUCAUUCGGACUAACAAUUGCUCUUGCAACUUUCAUGGAUUUGAUGAACAAAGUUUUCAAACAGUGCUUGGACUUGUUCGUUAUUGUCUUUAUUGAUGAUAUCCUCAUUUACUCUAGGAGUGAGGAAGAACAUGCAAGUCAUUUGAGCGUUGUUCUAUAGACUCUCAAGGAUUGCCAUUUAUUUGGUUAGUUUAGCAAAUGUGAGUAUUGGUUGCAAUCCAUUGCUUUUCUUGGUCACAUUGUAUCUAGCUAAGGGAUCCGAGUGAAUUCAUAGAAGAUAGAAGAAGUGGCCCAGAUAUACCUCUACUUCAAAUAUAAAAGGUUUCUUAGAUUUAGAGGGUUAUUACAGAAGGUUCAUGAAAGGAUUUUCAUCCAUAGCCACACCAUUCACUAGGUUGACUUAGAAGAUGGUCAAGUUACAAUGGUCAGAUGAUUGUGAGAAAAGAUUUGCAGAACUCAAAAAUAGAUUGACCAUAACUCAUGUCUUGACUCUACCAGAGGGUUUAGACAGUUAUGUGAUUUAUUGGAUGCAUCCAGAGUUUGCCUAAGUUGUGUGUUGAUGCUGCCAGAUAAGGUUAUAGUGUCUUCCUCUAGACAACUUAAGGUACAUGAGAAGAACUUUCAAACUCAUGACCUUGAUCUUGCAUUAGUGGUGUUUGCACUCAAGAUAUGGAGACACUACUUGUAAGGUUUCAUGUAGAUGUGUUCACCGAUCAUAAGAGCCUUUUCUAUAUGUUCACCCAGAAAGAGUUGAAUCAUUGCCAGAGGAGAUGGCUUGAGUUCCUUAAUGAUUAUGAUAUGAGUGUGCAUUAUCAUCCUGGUAAGGCAAAUUUAGUAGUCGAUGCUCUUAGUAGAUUAUCUAUAGGUAGUGUAGCCCAUGUUGAGGAAGAAAGGAAGGAGCAAGUGAAUGAUGUGUACAGGAUUGCUAGCUUUGGAGUUUGCCUUAUUAGCAUAUCAGAGAGUGAUGUAAUAGUUCAAAAUGGGGUAGAAUCUUCUUUGAUUAUGGAGGUUAAGGAGAAGAAAGACAAUGAUCAAAUGUUGCUUGAAAUCAAUGGUGCAAUCCACAAUUAGAGUGUGGAGGAUUUCUCCCAAGGGGUAGAUGUUGUACUACGCUACAGGGUAGAUUCUGUGUUCCUAAUGUGGGCGAGUUGAGAGAGAAUAUUCUUGCAAAAGCCCAUAACUCUAGGUAUUCAAUUCAGCCAGGUGCCCCUAAGAUGUCCCGUGAUCUACGAGAAGUCUAUUGGUGGAAUGACAUGAAGACGGAAGUAGCAGAAUUUGUGAGUAAGUCCCCCAAUUUCCAACAAAUUAAGGUAGAACAUCAGAAACCAGAAGGUAUGACUCAAGAGAUCGACAUUCCUACUUGGAAGAGGGAACUGAUAAAUAUGGAUUUCAUCACAGGGUAACCACGUACGCACAGACAGCAUUACUCCAUUUGGGUGAUAGUUGAUAGGAUGACUAAGUCUUCUCGCUUUUUAGCUGUCAAGACUACAAAUUUGGUAUAGGACUAUGCCAAGCUUUACAUUAAUGAAGUUGUGAGGUUACAAGAGGUUCCUUUGUCUAUCAUAUCAGAUAGAGGUCUUCAAUUUACCUCUCAUUUCUGGAAGUCAUUUCAGAAAGGUCUUGGUACUUAAGUUAACCUUAGUACAACAUUUUAUCCAUAAACGGAUAGGUAUGCAAAGCAUACAAUUCAGACCUUAGAAGAUAUGUUGAGAGCUUAUGUGAUUGAUUUCAAGGAUAGUUGGGAUGAUCACCUUCGUCUUGUUGAGUUUGCAUACAAUAAUAGCUAUCAUUCCAGCAUUCUGAUGGCCCCUAAUGAGGUUUUAUAUGGGCGUAGAUGUAAAUCUUCGGUUGGUUGGUUUGAAGUAGGUGAAGCAACUUUGAUAUGGCCAUAUUCAGUCCUUUAUGCUAUGGAGAAAGUGCAACUCAUUAGAGAUAGACUUAAGACAGCCCAAAGUUGUCAGAAAUCUUAUGCACAUUUAAAGCGAAAGGGAACUAUAGUUCCAAGUCGAUGAUUGGUUUUUUCUGAAAGUGUCAGCUAUGAAAGGGUUGAUGAUAUUUUGCAAGAAAGGUAAGCUCAAUACUAGAUAUGUAGGCCUUUAGAAGAUUUUAAAAAGGAUUGGCAAGGUGUCAUGUGAGUUAGAGUUACUAGAGAACUUAGCAACAAUGCGUCGGGUCUUCCACAUCUCACUAUUGAAGAAGUGUGUGGGUGACCCAGCCUCUAUAGUGCCAUUAAAGAAUGUGACGGUGAAAUAAUCUUUCUUAUGAGGAUGUACCAGUUGAGAUUCUUAAUUGGCAAGUUAGAAAGUUGAGGAACAAAGAAGUCUCUUAAGUCAAGGUUUUGUGGAGGAGUCAGUUCGUAGAGAGACCUACUUGGGAAACAGAAGCAGCCAUGAAUUGCAAGUAUCCUCACCACUUUCCUUACAUUUCAACUCUAGCUUGAGGUAAUAGUUCCUCUUUAGUUUUCAAGUCAUUCAUGCGUAAAUUCGGUCUUAAAAUCAUGUUCCCUCAGUUUGUAAUUGAAUUUUUAGCAUAUUUGCAUGUUCUCGGAACUCAAUUAAAUUAGAAACUCAGUUCUCAGUGUUUAGUAGUAGGGUUUGCAACUCUUUCCCUCUAUUUCAGCUAGUUUAGUCCUCAUUUAAGGACGUAUGUUCCCAAGGGGAAGAUAAUGUAACACCCUGUAACAAAAACACACCAAAAAAAUCAAUUUUUUGAAAAAAUUACAUGUGCAACUGACAUGACCAUCAAACUACUGUAUCCUGGCCCACGGUCUGUCCUACACAACAAUCGAUGAGAUCAGAGACUCCCAAAAACUCAGUUAGUGAAAAUUGGCUAAGUCUUGAUCGACGGACAGACUUACGGUCCGUAGGUCAGAUGACGAUUCGUAGUCUGUGACCAUUGAGCAAGAGCCCCUUCAACCACUCUCUGACAAGAGCCACAGAUGACCAGUAUGGUCCGUAAGGUGAACCCAUGGUCCGUAGUUCUGGCCGUAUGUUGGAUUUAACAGACAGUUAAGGGAGGAGUGCAGUUGGGUCAACUUCAAAUUGCCAUACCUCUUAUAAUAAAAUGAAUUACGUUUCCCAUGACCUAUCAACAGAUAUAUAAUAGAAUUAUCUUUCUAUAGCCACCGACCUUGCUAAUAUCAGACCUCUGAGUAAAAAGUUAUGCUCAUUUUAGUAAGGGUUUGUCGAACAGGCCCAAUCGAUAGACCAACCGACAGGGUGUGGAUCAAUUAAUUAAUUGUCUGUUGUGGCCGUCCCCUGGUCCGACAACAACUUUCACAGGGGUCUGUUGGACCUUUUCCACUCUGUUUAAACCCUAAUAUAUGUCUUUUUGACCCUAAAUCAUCAUAUUUUAGUCAGUUUGAGUAUAGAAACAUAAUUAAAACAUGUCUAAGUCAAAUCAUUAAAUCAAAACUUAGAAAAUAAGAACCAAGAGAGGAUAAAAAUCUCAAGAAUCUGAGUUCAAGAACUCCACAAGCUUUAGCAGUUCCAGCCCAAAACUUAAGUAUUUUUCCAUUGAUUUCAUCACCAGGUAUGUGGGAUUUCACUAGUGGGUUCCUUUCACCCAUUGGGUCCCUAGUUUUCGGUUAGAUUCUUGAUUCUCUUGUCAUGAUUAAACAUAGGGUUUCUAUAACUUUGACAGAACAUCAUAAAUUUAUUAAAAUAUACAUUCCAAAUUAGAUUAUCAUGUUAUUACUCAGAUUAUCUUAUGGAUUUCAAACCCCAGUUUAGUAUUUCUUUAGUUGUUGAAUUAAACAUGCUAGGUCAGAUAUUUCAGACACUUCAGAUAUACAUGCCUCAAUUAUAAAUGCAUAAUUUCUAGUUUAAUUGUUGCAUUCUAAGUUUGCAUGUUCAAUUUCGAGUUAUCUAGUAUUUACAGAAACUCAAAAAUAAUCAGUAAAUUUACAGAAUUCAUUGGGAGUAGCAUACUACCAAGUUGGAGUAGGGUUCAUCGUACCUAAUUAGCCCCAGAACUACUAGCCAAGUAGGUUGUAAAUCCCCUCUGUGGGCAAUCUGUUUAGUGAUCACGCCAGCAUGCCAUUAUACCUCUGUAAGGGUAUUUUGGGUCCUUUUGUUGGGGCAUAUACAUCAGACUCCACAUUUAGCUCAUAUGGUUUUAUUGUCGCUUCUUAUUAGCUCCCAUAGUUCAGUCAAAAUCUUUACAUUGACCAUUUAUCAGUAUAUUUAGUAUUCAGUCACAGAAUAUUAUAUUAGUCAUUUCAUCCAGUUAGCUUAAAAAUUAGCUUAUAAUGUUGAGGUUAUUAUGUGGAAGUACGUGCAUUCCCAAUGUCAUAGGAGGGAUGGUGUCUUGAGGAAUCAAGGAAGUAUGUGCAUUCCCAAUGUAGGUGGCUUGAGGAACCGGAUUCUUGAGGAAGCUCAUGAGUCUCAUUACUCCAUUCAUCUGGGUUCUACAAUGAUGUAUCGUGAACUUUGAAAAGUGUUUUUGUGGGAAGGCUUGUUGAAGGACAUAGCAAAAUUUGUUGCAAAGUGUCCAAAUUGCCAACAAGUGAGAGUCGAACACCAAAAUUCAGAUGGUUUGUCUCAAGAAAUCCAUGUUCCUAUUUGGAAGUGGGAAUACAUUAAUAUUAAUUUUGUUGUAGUUCUCCCUCAUACAAAAAGCAAUAUGAGUCCAUAUGGAUGGUGUUGAAUAGGUUGACAAAAUCUGCUAAUUUUAUUCCCGUCAUGUCCACUUACUCUGUGGAGGAUUAUGCAAGAAUCUUCAUAGAUGAGAUUGUGUGUCUCCAUUGUAUUUAGUUAUUUAUUAUGUAGUAUAGGGGUACAUAAUUCACAUCUAGGUUUUGUAGGUCAUUCCAAAAAGGGUUGGGUACCAAGGCGAAGUUAAGCACAAGUUUUCAUCCUCAAACGGACGGUCAAGCGGAGCGUACUAUUCAAACCCUUGAGGACAUGCUUAGAGAUUGUAUAAUUGAUUUCAAGGUAAAUUGGGAUUGACACUUGACCUUGGUUGAGUUUUCUUAUAACAAUAGUUACCAUUCAUCCAUAUCUAUGGCUCCGUAUGAAGCCUUGUAUGGUAGGAGAUGUAUAUCUCCAAUUGGAUUGUUUGAAAUGGGCGAUUCUUCGGUUUUGGAUCCCAGAUUGAUUUAUAAAACUUUGGAGAAGGUUGAUAUUAUAGGAAUCUCUUGAAAAAAUCCUAUAUCCGGCAAAAGUCUUAUGCAUACCAUAGGAGAAGAGAUUUAGAAUUUGAAGAAGGUGAUAAAUUGUUUCUAAAAAAUUUACCCUAUGAGGGGUGGUGAGAUUUGACAAGAAAGAAAAGUUGAGUCCUCAUUAUGUGGGUCCUUAUGAAAUUUCGCAAAAGAUUGGUAAGGUUGCAUAUGAGUUGAGGUUACCUAGUGAAUUUGCUUUGGUUCAUCCGGUGUUCCAUGUUUCAAUGCUUAUGAAGUAUAUCAGUGAUGCCGAGUUCAUUAUUCCUAUUAAAAGUCUAUGUUUUCAAGAGAACCUCUCUUAUUAGGAGGUUCCGGUUGAAAUCCUUGAUAUACAAGUAAAGAGGUUAAGGAACAAAGUGAUGGCUUUUGUAAAGGGGUUAUGGAAGAACAAUCUAUUUAAGGGAGCAACAUAGGAGGUCGAGACUGACAUGAAGUCCUGUUACCCUCAUCUAUUUAAUUACUAAGGUUAGUUUUUUCCUAUUUGUAAAAAAAUAAUGAUUUUAUUUGAAAUUGCCUUGAUUUUGGUGAAAUCGUGCAAAAAAGUGCAUGUUACACUUACAAUGAAUUUUUUUGCCUACAAAUUAAAAUGUUGAUUUCUUACUUUUCAUGAGUGUAUUUUGUGCAUUUGGGUAUAUUAUGACUUCAUGAAUGUAUUGAGCAUGUUGAUAUUUGUUGAAAAAAACUUUGGCAUAAUGAAUAAGAAUGUAAUGAAUGUUAAACUCUUAUGAGCUGAAACUGAUGUUUUCAGUUGUAUUGUGUAAAAGGUCAUGUACAAUGAUGAUUUUUAUUGUGACUCAUGUUUUAUUAUGUUGUUGUUGGUUUGACUGGUAGUCUUGAUUCUAUUGCUUCCUUUUAAAGUAUUUUAGUGUCAAUCAGGAGUAAAUGUUAUAAGGGUGGGAUAAUGUAAUACUCCAAAAUCCUAAAGCCUGCUCUAGAGCCUAAUAUGAUAAUUAAGAGUUGUGACACUUUUUUAAAGUCAAUUAGAAUCAUAUAAGUUAUUUAUGGAGUUCUAGAAUCAAAAUAUCCAGGAACAUCCAUGACAUCCGUAAACUAGUUCAACAGGUGAUAGUGUGCCUUACCCUAUCUGAAUAAGUUUUACGAGUAGGAAAAUGAUGAAAUUGGGUGUUAAGGUGUCUAACAUGUAUUAGAUUUAGUUUAUAGUCUAAACGGUCGGGUACGACUCCCCAAGUACUAACCAAGGUCCCUUGAGGAGGACCCUUGCAAUUUGGCAAAAAGAGGCCAUGAGGGAGUGUCUAUCGACGGACUACAGGCGACGAGGCAUUGGUGAAUCGAUGGGACAUCUAUUCCUCCAUAAAUGAUUGAAAAUUUCUUGGUAUGUCAUUUUUUUCAAAUCUCUGACCAAAACCACGGAUGUGCAGCAUGGAGGCCACACUGCCAGUCGACUGACCUACGUCCUCUCAGUGGAGGUCUGGUAGGUCAAGUCUGUGUGUUGCUAUUUUGUUUACUUAAUUCAUUUAAUUAGUUAAGUGGUUAUUUAGUUAAUUAAGGGUUACGGAGGUUCAAUUAAUUUAAAUAAUUUGUAUAUAAAGACUUAGCUAAUAAAACUAAGCCUAACUCUCAUAAUUCCCCAAACCCAAUUUUUCUUCCUUCUCUCUUCUCUCUUCUCUCUCUCUCCCAAAGAAACUCCAUAGAAGACCUAGAAAGGAGGCAUAUAGGGAUUCAAGGAGGUUUUUUUAUCCAUAAAACAAAAUCAAUUAGUAAGGUAUGGGAUUUCUUUAACCAUCGUGAUAUCUUUCCCCAAAGGGUUCCUUUAAAUUGAUUUCAAAAAAAACAAAUUCAAGUGAGUUUUAUUCUAUUACGAAAUUUAUCUUGUGAAUUGCUUUGUUUAUGAUUAAUUUUAGUUAUUAUGAGUAGAUUAACAUGUAUUAUGCUUCCAUUAUACUACUUCUUGAUGAAUUUACCUAGUUUAUGGAAAAUGGCCUUUCCCCUUUAACCCUAGGUUGUGAUCUUGAAUUGAAGUAUCUAGUGUUUAUAUACUUGGCUUAGUUAAUGUGUGGUUUACUAUUAUAUGUUGUUAUUAUGUCAAUGUACGAGUAGAUUCUGAUAUUUGGUAAUACAAUUAUGCUAGUUCUUGAAUAACUAACUUAGGUUGUGAAGUAGAUAAUGAAUUUGACCUAAUCCUCUAACCCGAAGCUAUGAACUAGUGAUUAGUUGUUGUGUAGUGAUUUCAAUUGACUUUAUUAUAAUGUUGGUUACUAUUGUGUGAUGAUAUUACACCAUUGUUGGAUUCAAUUGGAUGGUUGAUAGUAUGACCUUGAUGAUGGCUUGUGAAAGAGGUUGGUUAUAGUCUUGUGAUCUCAAUUCUGUACUUCAAUUAUUACUACUUGUGAUUAAGUAUUGAUGUUAUAUUUAAAUAUACUUUAUGUUAAUAUUGAUAGGGUUAAUAUGAUGUUGAAUUGGAAUGUCUUGAAUUAUUGUUUUUUAGUUGUUCGCUAAGAUGUAAAUGUUAUAAGGAAGGUGAUAACUUACCAAUGUACCUUAUCAUGAUGUCAUUAUGUAAAUGUGCUAACCUCAAAUGUAUAAAUUGUAGUGAAAUUAAAUUUCUCAUGUAAUUCGUAUUGAGCUAUGAUGAUGAUUAUAUAAGGGAUAGACCCUACAACCUACAGAAGCUAUGAUCAUUAAUGAAGGCAUUAAAGACAUUUCAAAAGGGACUCAAGCUUAGAACCGAAUGAACUACAGUGGGGAGUGUCCCUUCCAAUAUAGGGAAGUUAGGAUAACUAAUUUACUCAUGAGAUUGGAGACUAUAAUGCAUGUAGCAUACAUGAGUUCCCAAUUACAUCUACUAGUUCUUUAACUAUGCCGCCCCCAUAGGAAUACUAGCUAUUGGAUCCUUAUAGAAGCUAUGUUCAUGUUUUGGGACUACCUUGGUAAGUAAUUCGCCUUCUUUUAGUGUAGGGUUCCAUGACACCGGAUUUCGCAUUAGCUCAUGUGGUCUAUGUUGUUUAAGGCAAGAUGUUCCCAAAAGGUAAAAUGAAGUAAUAAAGUGAACAAUAACUAGGAUGAACUAUAACUAUAAUGUUGUGUACUCUUAAUGAUAUGUUAUGUGAAGUUGGACACUAUUUAUGGUUCUUGUCAGGUUAGCAUGAUUGGAGUGAGGUUAUAGGGAUUUGCUUAGUCAUUGCACUAGUGGACUUGGUGAGGGCUUAUGAGUAAUGUUCUUGCUUAGUUUAUGAUGUUAUGAACUCUUAUACAUGCUUGUUGAUAAUAUAACUUGAUGAUAGAGUUGUCUUUGUUAUGUGCUCAAUUAUGUUGAUGCGCAUGUUGACUUUACUAGACAUAGUAUGGUUGGUCUUGUGAUGUACAUGGUCUUGAGUUAAUGAAUGUGUAUAAUUGAAUUGUAUUAGUUCUUGAAUGUUAAUAAUACUUUUCAAAGAAAUUAUGCAUGCUUUAAUGAAAUGUCCCUUUUUAGCAUGAUUCUAUGUGCAUAUGGUCUCAUACUUAGUACAAGUGAUGUUCUAAACCUAUUUCUCCCUUUUUCCCCAACAUUUUAGGUUCCGGUCAUUGAAGGGUUAAUGAUGAUUUUUGAAGAAAGACUUGUAUCCUCAUUCUCCAAUUUGGGUAGGUCCUCACUACAUCAAGGACAAUGCAACUUUCUAACAUUGAAUGUUUAUUAGUCUUAAAGACAACUUGGUCAUUUCCUUUCAUUUGAGAACUAAUGAUUGUAUAGCCUUUAUGUGGCUUUUAUUUUAUUCAUGUAUGGUCUAUGACCAAUUGUUAUAAUCUUCUUUUGAUGGUGAUUAGAUGAGACAUCUUUUUUAAGACUAUAUAUUUAUAUGUGUCAUAAUAGCAGAAGACUAUGUAAUCUUCUUCUACGAAGGGUCUAUGUAUAAUUGAUAUGAAUAUUUAUUUUUUGUAUGCAAGAGGUUUAUGUAAAUCUCAUGAUAGAUACAAGAAAAGUUUUAAAUUUUCCACAUUUUUAACAAAUGAAUUUGAUCAUCUAAGCUAAAAUUCUAGCCUUAGUUUUCUUCGAGGACUAACGACUCCGGUUACGUCUAAGGGGUGCUACCCGAAUGUGACACUUCCAUUGAACUUUCACUGACUUAAACUCCUUGGUCCUAAACAUAUGCAUAUCACAAAAAAGAAUAGGAAUAAGUUCAUCCUUAUAUUGAAGGUAUUUGUCAAAUACAAUUGAGUCCCACUUAAUGAUAAAUUUUCCAUCACCCUAAUAUCUCUUCAAUAUAGACAUAUGGAAUAAUGGAUGAAAACAAGAUAUGUUAGGGUGUAGAGAAAAUCUAUAAACCACCGUCCGAUAUCAAUAUAUCAUGGACUUAACUUAUCCUUCUUACCAAAUCUCAUCGCCCCUUUUCAUGGGUGAUACCUUAAGAAGAUUGUUCUUACCAGUAUGAAAUUGUAUGUCUCUUACCUUAUUAUCUACAUACUUCUUCUAUCUACUCUGGGCUGCUAGAAGUUUUGUUUGAAUUCUCUCAAAGGUUUCACAACUCCAUCUCAAACCAACCUAUAGGUGAUCUACAUACCAUAUAAUUCCUCAAACUGUGUCAUAUUAAUACCGGAGUGAUAACUAUAAUUAUAGGAGAACUCACACAAAGGUAUGAAUUUAUCCCAAUGCCCUUCAAAAUCGAUUAUGCAUGCUCUCAACAUGUCUUUCGAAACUUGAAUAGUCCUUCUAGAUUUUCCAUCCAUUUAUAGAUUAAAGGUUGUACGAAAAGUGAGUUGUGUUCCUAAUUCUUCAUGCAAUUUCCAUCGAAACUUUGAACUGAAUUAAGUACCAUGAUAUGAGAUCAUAUCAAGGGGCAUACCAUGCAUCCUUACUAUCCAUUUCACAUAAAUCAUAGUUAGUUGCUUAAUAUUAUAAUCUAUUCUUAUUUGGAAUAAAAUGGGUUAACUUGGUCAAUCUAUCAACCACUACAAAAAUAGAAUUGAACUUCCACAAAUGUCUUGGGAUGAACAACCACAAAAUCCAUAUCUAUUCCUUACCACUUCCAUUAAAGAACUGACAUUUUUUUAAGUAAACAUGUAGACUUGUAUCCUCAUACUUCACUUCUUGACAAUUUUCACACUGAAGCACAAACUCCUCUAUGUCCUUCUUCACGCCCGACCACCAAUUAAUUGAUUUCGGAUCUCUAUAUACCUUGGUAACACUUGGAUGAAUAGAAUAUUGACAACCAUGAGACUCUGCCAACAAUUUUUGAAUCAAGUCAUCAACUUGCGGAACACAAAUUCUUCCUUUACACUGUGUACACCAUCCGCAUCAAGAGUGGCCUUUUGUACUUUACCAAUCACCACUUAGUCCUUGACUUUGUUCAAACAUUCAUUCUAUGAUUGUUCGACCUUGAUAUCUUCAAUGAACAUGUCCUUAACUUCAAUGCUCACUGAUACCCCGCCUCUUUCUGAGAUGCUCAACUGAAAUGAAUUUAGACUAUAAGAUCUAAAUUUUUUUGGACAAUGGUUUCUUGGUUACACUUAAUCUGUCUAACCUACCCAUACUUACCACAUUUUGACUCAAAUCAUCUGCCACCACAUUAGCGUCACUCGAAUUUACUUAAUGGUAACAUAAUUAUCCUUCAGUAACUCCAUUCGUAUUUGUUGUCAUAACUUUAGAUCAUUUUGAGUGAAUUCAUGCUCUAAACUAUGAUGAUCAAUAAAUACCUCAUACUUUACACCGUAAAGAUAGUGCCUCUAGAUCUUAAGAGCAAAUACUACCGCAUCAAGAUCAAAAUAUUGGUUGGAUAAUUUCUCUCAUGCACCUUCAAUUGGCGUGACACAUAGGCUAUGACAUUCUUAUACUGCAUUAACACAACACCAAAUCAAGAAUGAGAAGCAUCAAAUAAACUAUGAAAACCUUACCUUCCACCAGUAAAACUAGGAUAAGUCUGUUGGUCAAAACAGUAUUGAGCUUUUGAAAUCUCUCUUAAAAACUUAGUCCAUUCAAAUGGUGUUCCCUUUUUGGUAAAAUUAGUCAAGUAAGUGCAAAUGGAAGAAAAAUUCUUCGCAAAUCGGUGACAAUAACUAGCGAGUCCCACAAAACUCCUGACUUCUAUCACAGAACUAGGCCGAACCCAAUUCUAAACCUCCUCAAUCUUUUGAGGAUAAAAUAUUGCCUCUUAUUUUGACACUAGGUGUCCCAAAAAUGCAACUGAUUUUAACAAAAAAUCACAAAUAGAAAAUUUAGCAUAUAACUUUUUCUUCCGAAUAACACCUAAAAUAGUACCUAUGCUAUCUUCAUUAUUUGAACUUACCAAACUAUCAUGAAUUAACACUAUCACAAAGGAUUCAAGAAAUGUUUUUAAUCCACAUUCAUCAAUCUCAUGAAAGUUGCAGUCUCAUUGGUGAAACUAAAAUACAUAACCAAACACUCAUAAUGCUGAUAGUGAAGUCUAAAUGUCUUCUUAGGCACAUCUUCUGAUCUAAUUUUAAAUUGAUGGUAGCAGGACAUUAGAUCAAUGUUAUAGAAAAACGCCUCCCCUUGCACUUGGUCAAAGAGAUCACCUAUCUAAGGCAAAUGAUAUUUAUUUUGAAUAGUAACUCUAUUUAAUUAUCUAUAAUCUAUACAUUCUCGUGCUACCAUUUUUUUCUCUUAUAAAAAAAACUUGAGCACCCCAUUGGGAAGAACUAAGGAAAAUAAAUCCCUUCUAAUGAAGCUCUUGAAUUUGAGGCUUAAGCUCUUUUAAUUUCGCCUGAGCCAUGUGAUAUGGAGAGAUAGAAAUGGGGACUGUACCAGUCUCGAAAUCGAUUCAAAAAUAUUUAUCCCUAUCCAGAGGCAUACAAGUCAAAUUAUUAGGAAACAUUUCACCAAAUUCAAACACUAUAGGAUUGGACCCGAUGGGUAGUGCCACAAUCUCAACAUUCCUAAUAUGACAAAAACAAGCCAAACAACCUUGCUUUACUAAUUUAUUAUCCCGAGUGGACGAUAUAAUCCUAGCUUGCUUAGGCUUGUCAACCACUUGCCACUGUAAUUUUUCCCUUCCUGGAAUUUCUACAGUUACAACUUAGUAUUACAAUUAAGCACAACAUAAUAGUGGGACAACUAAGUCAUGCUUAAGAUUAUGUAUAAGUCAAUCAUAUACAAAAUAAUUAAAUCACCCAAGUCUGAAAACCCAUAAACAUGAUAGGACAAACACGAUAAAUAUGGGUGACUAUGAAUGAUGAUCCAUCAUGGGUAGAAACACAAAUUGGAGCAACAAGAAUAUCAUAUAUUGUAUCAAACUAGGAGGCAAAUCGCACAGAUACAUAAUAAUAAGUGGAACCCAGAUCAAAUUACAUAUUAGACAUCUUGUAACACAUAAUAAUAGUAUAUGUGAUUAGAACGUCGGAUGCCUUUGCCUCCAUUUUUUACCAGAAAAGCAUAACAUUUAUUUUUAUCAUAAAUACGAGCCAUCUCCAUGGUUGGUUACGCAUUACCCGUACCUACGUUAUGAUUACUAUUUCCUUGAACUCCACAGCCUCUCUGAUAACCUUCUCGCCCACCUUGUGGAAGUCCUUUACAAUUAUUACAAUUUCCCAUAGGUACAACUACUCUAUAAGGCUUUUGCGUGAACUCAAAAACACCCGGAUAGGACUAUAUCUUCUCUUGUCCCCAAGUUGACACAGUUGUACAAGAAAUGAUCACAAGAUAGUCUGCUGCCCAUCACAGGGAUGCCAUUUUACUAUUUCGAAAAUUAGGAGGUGGAGUUACGAAGUAGUUACUUAAAGAGGCGGGCAUAGCAGACUGAAUUAUCUUGGCCGCAAGUGUUGGCCUUUCAGAACUCUUAGAGUAAGACACUUGAAAGUUACCAACUUUUUUCCAAUUUUUGCCCAAGCCAUUACAUAAAUUUGUUGCAUUACCCUCUCACUUUCUAACAUAGUCUCUCACCUCAUUAAAACUCCUCGCUACAUGAGUCAUAUGGAAAUAUAAUACUUGCAAGUCAAAAUUUACACCUCUAAUAAAUAACUGGAUCCUCUCUCCUCUUUAUUGAACAAUUUCAUACCAUAUCAGGAUAAAACAUGAAACUUGGCCUCAUAAGAAGCAAAUGAUAUACCACCUUUGUCUAACAACAUUAACUUAUCCUUCUUGCCAUCCCUCUAUGUACUAGGCACAUACUUUUCUAGAAAUAAAGCAUGAAGUUGUGCCCAAGUAAGUCGAGUCGAUGUAAAAGAUCAGCACUCCAUAUAAUCCCUCCACCACUUCUUGGCCUCACCAAGAUGUUGGAAAGAGACGAACUCAACUCCAUGUUUGUGAUAAUACCCAAUUUAUGUAGCCUCUCAUAACAGCCUAAGAAAAACAUACAUGCAUCUUCAGUCUAAGAAUCAUGAAAUAAUGGGGGUUUAAUAUUUAGAAACUUAGUCAAUAUAUCAUGCUUGUUCCCAUUCACAACAGAACACAACAAAAAAUGAAAGAAUGCAUCAGCACCUACAUUCCACCCGUCUUAGGCGCAAUUCUAGCACUAGGAAUUUGGGGGAGCUUGAGUUGGUUGACAAUAUGUAACCACUCCAUGACAAGCCAACCCUUACAAGAACACUAUAAUCUGGUGAGCUAACAAUGGAUCGAUGGGAGGAACAACCGUAGUUUUUGCUGGCACUUCUUCCUCUUGUCAAUUUUCCUCAACAUCUUUAACCUCAAUAUCCUCUUUUACCUCCUCAUUAAGUGUAGAAGGGUUCUUAUACAUAGGAACAUUACCAAUAAGUUCCUCAUUGAAAGUAGACGCUACUCUCCCACGACAUCUAUACCUAGAUCUUAUUCUAUGUCUACCUUGAUUGGGACCUAUCACUGCAGAUUCAUCAGCUAGAGCAUUGACAUGAUAUAUGGACCUAAUACUAUUAUACCUAGUAAAAUACAAGAAAAAAAUUCUUGAAAGAGGGGAAAUAUGGUCCUAGAUGAGCAUUUGAGACCUGAAAAGUAAGGUUGAUUCCCUUCCUUAAUGCAUCCUUCACUAUCACUCAAAAAUGACGAUAUUAAAAAGCCUGUCGCUAAAGGUUUUGGAGACGGGGAUCCUAUCUGGUCACGAAGUACCUUUAGGGACGUUAAUUCUGGUCAAAUUGACCAAAUAUACUUUGGAAAUAUGUUUUUCAUUUCGUUAAAACACUAUAACAGCCAGAAAAAACUAGUCGUAAUCAUGAUUAGAGAUGAUAUUUAUCUGGUCUUAGUAAUCCCUGGAGACCAUUAAAGACCUUUCCUUAGAAUUGCUUUAAUGAUGAGUACUAUUUGGUCUUAGAAAUACCUUAAGGGACUCACCAACCUUUACUUCGAAUACAUUUGGAGACCAUCAACAACCCCGUCCCCAGAAUAGCAUUACACACGACCAACAAGCAUGGUUAAAGCUUUGCCUUAAAAUACCAACAAUAAUUCUUGUCCUAGUUUGACCACAAUACAUUUCAACAAAAAUAGAAUGGCUACUAAAAGUUUCACUACGAAUAUAAUAAUAUAUGGAAGAGACGGAGACAUCAAGACAUAUAUUAAGUAAGUAGUUCAUUGCAAUAAACUAGUUGACAUCCAUGACAUUUGAUUCAAAAUUUGUUUAACAAAAACACAUAACUAACAUCCUAGUUAGACUAACAUAAAGUUUUGCAUUAAAUUUGUAGCAAACUAAUAGUGAUCUCAUCCAUUUUCUUCUAAACUUAUAUCUUGGACACAAGAAUGAACAUAAACUAGGAAAAAGAAUAAAAGUUCAAUUCUUCAUAGAGUGUUAUCAAGAAACAUCAACAAAAGCUGCGAGAAAAUAAGAAAAAAAAAUCCUUUCUAAAAAAUUAGAUUUGCUUUAACCGAGAAUGUCAUAUCGAUAUAAAAGAUUUACAACUAAAUAUAUAACAUUUGAUAGAUAAUAAAAAAAUAAAAACAAUAGCUUUGGAGACGAGCAGAAUGAAAAAUAAGUUGGGCAAGAACAACUGCAAUGAACGAAAUAAAAUAGGGCCAAAGUCUCUAGUGUGAAAUAAACAUCAGCUGAAACUAACUGACAAGGUAGCACACAAAACCCACUUUUUAUACUAAUAUUCUCCUCUUAAAAAUGUAUCAAACACCUUAUUUGCCUUGAAAAGGUAGCAGAAAAAGGAAAGACAUUUGUAGUUGUACGCUGUUGAGGGAGUUGAAAAAAGUUGGGGAGCAUCUGUUUCUGGUUGUUAUUCGAACAUUUUGUCUAGUGUUACUGAUGAUUUUACCUAGUUCAAUGACACAUUUAUAGUCAUUGCAAGUGACAUUCGUAACCUUUUUUCUCUACAAUCAUUUCUUAACAUCCAAAGUAGUUAAUAUCUUCACUUUUAAUAUCCUAAUGAAUAAAAAAGAUGAUAGAUUUUUUGCAAACCAAAACUUUUUUAUGAUGUUUUACGUAAUUUUUACAGUUGAGACAAACGAUAUUGUUUUAGAUGCAGAAAACAAUUUGAAUCUCAAACAAUCUCGGCUAUAGUCACUGUUGAUAAGAAACCACAACAAAUUUUAACGUGAAUAUUGCAACUUUAUUCAACUUAAAAACAUCAACAGGAAAUUGCGACAUAAUUUCUUUGGAAGGUUUAAGAGAAGGCGUAGCAGUAGCAUGAGCCAAAGCCCUUUGAGGCAUCUCAACUAUGAAGACCGCUCUCACAAGAGUCAUAUUAGAAUCUAUGGUGAAUCAUAUCAUCAUUCUAAGAUUUUUGAGAAGGGUGAAAGGAUGUACAAUCCUAACCACAAUAGGGAUCCAAUUAGGAGUCCCGGUGGCAGGAGAGAUUGAAUUUCAGUUAGGGAUGGCAUUAAUGAGAGGCGUGCAAGAAUGGGUCAAUGGAACCGGGAAAAAGAAUAGGGAAGAACUCGAUAACAUGGAUACUGCAGAGAGUAAUUACAAAAAUGGCAGCAAUAAAUAUGAAUUUUCUCCAAACCAAGAUAAGUAUUAUAACAAUCAAUGAAAAUGAUGUGCUGAUGGAUAAUACAUGAAAAUACCAGGCUAGUUGUGGAGUGAAAGUCAAAGUCCUACUGACGAAUGUCUUAAUCUGAUUAGAAAUACGUACAUAACCUAUUUGAUUGUAAAUAUCUACAGCCACCACCGCAGAGACCAAUUAAGAAGAAGUUAGUUGGAGAAGAAUAUCAAUAUAAACUAAAGGGAUGGGCAAAUUGGUUGUACAAUAUGGAAAAGGAACAUUUAACCAACAGAUAGUAGAGGAUGAGAAAUUCAUACAUACUAUGAGGCAUAUCUAUCAGCUGAGGAAUGAAAAUCCUUCAUAUAAUAAAAUAAAGUCGGGUAUAUUGUUACUUAAAUGGUCAAUAGAAAUACAAUUGUCAUUUUGCUGGAAGAUGAUUGUUGAGCAGCAAAGAGUUCUUUCAUUUCAAUGUUUAUUUCAUCGCAUCUUCUAAGGUAGACAAACGAUCAUUCAAGGAUUUGUUUUUCUCAUUCAAGAAUUUGUUGUCAUCCCGAGUUGAACGUAGAGUGGACAAUAUUUCAGCAUUUGAAGAAGUCCCACCUUUCAAAUCUUUUGCCUUUAUUCAACCACCAAAUCAGAACACAUGGCUACGAGUUUGUGGCCCACAACAUUUUUCAACAAUCUCUAUAAUAGAUGGGGAAGGAUAUUCCAGGACUAUUUCCUCAAGUUGAGCAUACAAAAUAUUUAAAAGUACAUUUUCAAUCAAAACACCACAAUUUUUUGCUAACAACUUACUCAUUUCAUCAAAGAUACAUGUUUUUCAAUUUCUUUAGAUUCCACAAGCUUGUUAUCUUUCUUACGGAUCUUAAAGAAAAUAGUCGACAAAUCUGGUGGAUUUCCAUCUUUCCCACCCUUUACAUCAAAUUCAAACAAGUCAAAUAAGAAAACCCUCGUAAUACUCCGUAAAGGUAAAUAGUUUUUUAACAAGAUCUUUUGAUAAAUAAUCUCUUGAAUAGGUUUGCUACGAAUACGAUGGAGCAUCUUCUGCUUAGAUCGGUUUUUUGCAUUCCUAAUUUUUCUGGCAUGUAUUUGUAAAAUGAUAAACUUAAUAAUAAUAGUUAUAACAAAAUCAUUAAAACAUAACACGUCUCAUUGCUGAACAAGCUUCAAGUUUGUUUCCUAGUAAUAAACAUAAGUAGUAUGCAUACCUUAAAACUUUCAGAAGUAAAAUGUUCUUUUACAAAUGAUUCCCAUUCUUUUUUGUCUGCUCCCCUUGAGAUAAUCUUAAGAGUGUUAUAAUGGCUUAUCCCUCACAUAUUUUGCAUAUAAGUUUCACUCCCAAAGCUACCAAGGCGCGAACAUAGAACUUAGGACCACAAGUGAUCCUAAGAUAACCAUGUUGGCAUGAUCAUGAACAUAUUAUAGAUAAUAAACUUAAUGAGGAAUCUAUGUCAUAAUUUAAAGUGAAAGGAUGGAGAAUACCCGUAUUUCAUAACUGAGAUAUAUGAAAACAAUGGGUUUAAUAAAAUGGAAAUAUUAACUCAAUACUAAUCUAUAACUAAGCAUGUUUGAAAAUAGCCUCUAAACUGACUAGAAAUUGUGGGACAGGCCCCAACUAAUUCUAGAGAAAACUGAAACUAAAUGAUUAAAAUAUUUAAAGAAACUCAUGACUAUUGUCCUUGGAGAAUGAAAACUCACCACUGAAUCUGAUGAAUUAGAGAUCGGGAAUCUAUCUAUGCGUGAACUUGAUGUUGAGAACCUAAACCUACAUCACGAGAAUAUGUAGCGCACCUAUGUGUCAUAACUUGAAGGUACUGAGCAUGUAGGAUAGAUUAAAGAUGAAAUAAAACAUAACAAAACAAGCAUAAAAGCAAGUAUAAUAAUCUGAAUAUGAUAUACUCAAUUAUAAGCUAGUUGGAUACAAAUACCAAAUUUUUAACAAGAUGAGACUGAAUAAUAACUGAACUUUGAAUAUGGUCAAUGCAUUGGAGAGUCUGACUAAACUGUGGGAGCAACUAAUAACUGAUAAUAAAACCACAUAAGCUAAAUAUGGAUUUCGAUGUAUACAACCCACCGAGAGGACCAAAUAAACCCGGCCAGAGCUAUAAAGGCAUGUUGGCGUGAUCACUAAACUGAUUAACCACUCCCAAUAAAUAGAGUGUAUAAGACAUUAUGACUGAAUUUAUGUAAAUACUUGAUAGCUCAAAACUGAACAUGCAAACUGAGACCGCAACAAUUAAUAUGCUAAUAAUGCAUUUAUAACUAAGGCAUGUAUAUCUGAAGUAAUUGAAACAUCUGACCUAGCAUGUGUAAAUAAAGAACUAAAGAAAUACAUAUCUAGGGUUUUUUAAUUCAUGAAGUAAUCUGAGUAAUAACAUGAUAAUCUGAUUCGGAACAUAUAAAAAAUUACUUCGUGAAAUUUUGUUGAUGUUCUAGAAACUCUACAUCUAAUCAUGAUAUGGGACAUAAGAAUUUGACUGAAAAUUAGGGAUCCCACAUACCUAGUGAUAAAAUCCUUGGAGAAAUAUUUAGAUUUCAGGGAUGGAACUGCUGGAACCUUUUUGCCUUUUUGAACCAGGGUUAGUCACUUUUUUAUCCUUCCUUGCUUCUAAUUUUCUAAGUUUUGAUUUAUGAUUUUGUCUUAAGUAAGUUUUAGUUAUGUUUCUAGGCUUAAACUUACUAAAAUCUGAUUAUUUAGGGUCAAAAUGACGUAUCUUAGGGUUUAAAAAAGUGGGAAAAGACCACAAGACACCUGAGUUAGUUGCUGUUGGACCAAACAAUGAUCUGGACUGACGGGUCGUAGUUCAAUUGGCAAUCGAAAAUUUUGGGUCUGUAGGUUGGGUCUGUUCAACAGGACUUUACUAAAACGAGAAUAACUUUUUACUUGGAGGUUUAAUUUUAACAAACUUGAUGGAUAUGGAAAGGUGAUUCAAUUAUCUAUCAUUUAAUAGGUCAUAGGACACCUAAUUCAUUUUGUGCUAUGAGUUGUAAUCAUUUAAUGUUCACCCAACUGGAUUUUCCCCUAACUGUCUCCUAAUUUCCACCUAUGGUCAUACCUACAGUCCGUAGGUCAAUCUACGAACUGUGAUGGUCAAUGGUGGUUCUUGUCAGAGGGUGGAUAAAUAUGAUCUUCAUCAACGGAUAUUGACUACGAACCUUAGUCUAUAACCUACAGACCAUAGUUCCGUCCGUCGUUCGACACAUAGUUAAAAUUUUUGUGCUGCGUCUUAGGGGAUUUCACUCACAGUCGGUGGAUAUGCAACACAGGCCGUGGGUCAGGAUACGGUCUUCGAUGGUAACCGUCAAUAGCACCCGAAGAUUUCUGAAAAGCUAAUUUUUGGGCUGUUUUAGAUACAAGGUAUUACAAUAUUUCCCCCUUGGGAACAUUCUUCCUCGGAUGAAGACUAAAUUAGCUGAAAUAGAGGGAUAGGGUUGCAAUCCCUACUGCUAAGCACUGAGAACUGAGUUUCUUACUGAAUUGAGUUACAAAAAGAUGCAAAUACACUGAAAAUGCAAGUACAAAUUGAGGGAACAUGAUUCUAAGGCUGAAUUCACGCAUGAAUAACUGAAAAACUAAAGAUCAAGUAUUACCUUAAGAUGGAGUGGAAUCAGAACCAAAGAAUGAGGAUACUUGGUUUUCAUGGCUACUUCUGCUUCUGAAGUAGCUCCCAAUACGUACUAACUCCUCCACAAAACCUUGACUGAAGAUACUUCAUUAUUUCUCAACCUUUUAAGCUAACGGUAAAGAAUCUCAAGAGUGAGAUAUGGAAGACCGGAUGUAGUGCUGCUAAUUCUGCUGGCAAUUAUAGCUCAUAUGCCACCUUUGUAACCCUUUUCAAGAUCUUGUAAGGCCCUACAUAUCUAGGACUGAGUUUUCCAUUCUUGUCAAAUCAUAUCACUCCUUUCAUAGGUGACACUUUCAGGAAAACCCAAUCAUCAACUUGGAACUCUAGUUCCCUUCUCCUUACAUCUGCCUAAGACUUCUGACGACUCUGGCCUGUGUUGAGUCUCUAUGUAAUGAGUUUCACCCUCUCCAUAGUAUAAAGGACAGAAUGUGGAUCUACCAAAGAUGCUUCAGCUUCUUCGAACCAACAAAUAGGAGAUCUACAUCUACGCUCAUACAGUGCCUCAUAAGGGGCCAUCUGAAUGUUGGAAUUGUAGUUAUUAUUAUAGGUGAACUCAAUAAGAGGAAGGUGAUCAUCCCGACUACCUUUAAAAUCAAUCACACAAGUUCUCAACAUAUCCUCUAGGGGCUGAAUGGUAAGCGUUGCCUGUCCAUCCGCAUGUGGAUGAAAUGUUGUGCUAAGAUUAACUUGAGUACCAAGACCCUUUUGAAAUGACUUCCAUAAAUGAGAGGUAAAAUGAGGAACCCUAUAUGAGAUGAUAGACAAAGGAACUCUUUGUAACCUCACAAUUUCAUUAAUGUUAAUCUUGGCAUAGUCCUUUGUCGAAUAUGUAGUCUUGACCGCCAAAAAGCAAGAUGACUUCGUCAUCCUAUCCACUAUCACCCAAAUGGUGUCAUACUCUCUGCGAGUACGAGGUAACCGUGUGAUGAAAUCCAUAUUGCUCACAUCCCACUUCCAAGUAGGAAUAUCGAUCUCUUGUGUCAUACCUCCUGAUUUCAGAUGUUCUACCUUGACUUGCUGUCAAUUGGGGUAAUUACUCACAAAAUCUGCUAUAUCCCUCUUCAUGCCAUUCCGCUAAUAUACUUCCUGCGGAUCAUGAUACAUCUUAAUGGCACCUGGUUGAAUAGAAUAUCUAGAGUUAUGGGCUUCUACAAGGAUAUUUAUUUUCAAAUCACCCACUUCAUGAACACGCAAUCUACCCUUGUAGCGAAGUACACCAUCUCCUCCUUGUGAGAAAACCUACACUCUCUGAUUGUGGACUGCACCCUUAAGUUCAAGCAAGAUUGGAUUACUUUCUUGCUUUUCCUUAACCUCCACUACCAAAUAAGAUUCUGCCCCAUUUUGAACUAUCACACCAUUUUUUGAUAUACUCAUAAGGCGAACUCCUAAAAGAGCAAGCUUGUGAACAUCGUUCACUAUCUCCUUCCUUUCUUCCUAAACAUGGUCUAACUACCCAUAGAAAAUUUGCUAAGAGCAUCUGUUACUACAUUCGCCUUACAGGAUGAUAAUGCACACUCAUAUCAUAAUCCUUAAGGAACUCAAGCCAUCUCUUCUGGCUAAGAUUCAACUCUUUCAGGGUGAACACAUACUGAAGACUUUUAUGAUCAGUGAACACAUAUACAUGAACACCAUACAAGUAGUGUCUUCAUAUAUUGAGUGCAAAACCCACUACUGCAAGCUCUAGGUCAUGGGUUGGAGUAGUUCUUCUCAUGAACCUUAAGUUGGUAGAAGCAUAAGCUAUAACCUUAUCUUGCUGCAUCAAUACACAGCCUAGGCCAUCUCUGGAUGCAUCACAAUAGCUAACAUAACCAUAUGAAUCCUCUGGUAGAGUCAACACACGAGUUAUAGUCAAUCUAGUUUUCAAUUCUGUAAAACUUUUGUCACAAUAAUCUGACCGUUGAAACUUCACCAUAUUCUGAGUUAAGCUAGUCAAUGGUGAGUCUACGAAUGAAAUCCUUCCAUGAAAAUUUUGUAAUAACCCGCUAGACCUAAGAAACCUCUAAUAUAUAGCAGAGGUAGGUUUGGGCCAUUGUUUCACUACUUCUAUCUUCUGUGAAUCUACUCAGAUCCCUUCGAUGGAUACAAUGUGACCAAUAAAAGAAAUAGAUUGCAACUAGAACUCACAUUUUGCUAAACUUAGCGAAUAACUGGCGAUCCUUAAGAGUCUGUAGAACAAUUCACAAAUUACUCACCUGUUCUUCCUCAUUCCUCGAGUAAAUGAGGAUGUCAUUAAUAAAGAUGAUAACGAACAAGUCCAAAUACUGUUUAAACACUCUAUUCAUCAAUUUAUGAAAGUUGCAGGGGCAUUGGUUAGUCCAAGUAACAUAACUACACAUUUGUAAUGACCAUACCGAGUUCUGAAGGUUUUUUUUUUGGAUAAUCACUAUCUCUCACUCUAAGUUGAUGAUAACCCAAUCUGAGGUCUAUCUUUGAGAAAUGGCUAGCUCCUUGAAGUUGGUCAAACAAGUCAUUAAUCUUGGGGAUGGAUACUUAUUCUUGAUUGUGACUUUGUUUGCCUGUCAAUAGUCAAUGCACAUUUUGAUAGAACCAUGUUUUUUCUUUACAAACAACACCAGUGCACAUUAUUGUGAACUACUAGCUCAAAUGAAGCCCUUAUUUAGAAGGUUUUUCAACUGCUCUUUAAAAUUCUUAAGCUCUAUUGGAGCCAAUCUGUAAGGAGGAAUAGAAAUAGGUUGGGUAUCUUGAAGAAGGUUGAUUCCAAAGUCAUUUUCCUUUUCGGGAGGGACUCCGGGAAGAUCUUCUCGAAAUAAUUCUAGAAACUCACAGACUACUAGAACGGACUGAAGAGUUGAGCUUCCAGAGCUAGAAUCCUUAACCAGAACUAGAUUAUAGAGAUAACCCUUAGAUAUCAUCUUUCUAGUAUUAAGGUAAGAUUUGAAUCGACCUAUAGGCGCUAAGCUACUACCUUUUCAUUCUAAGAUAGGUUCCUCUUGAAACUGAAAAUAAACAAUCCUAGUUCUAUGAUCAUCUUAGGAAUAACAGGAAUGUAAUCAGUCCAUGCCUAGAAUGACAUCGAAGUCUACCAUUUCUAACGUUACAAGAUCUACUGAGGUGACUUUCUGUGAGACUGUGACAGGGCUAUUUCUGUAUAACCGUCUAGCUAUAACUGGGUCAUCGACUGGAGUAGAUACUGACAAAGGUUCUAAGAGAUUUUCUAGACUGACACUUAAUUGUACUGCUAUGCAAGGAGUUACCAAGGAAAGAGUAGAACCGUGAUCUAACAACGCAUAAACAUGAAUCUGAAAGACUUAUAACGUACAAAUGACUACAUCAGGAGAAUUUGCUUGAUGCUCACAACCUUGAAAAGCAUAAAACUUGUUUUGGUAGUGACCGCCACUUGUACUAAAUGAGUUACCUUGAUGAGUUAGGCAACUUUCUGGUGUUGAUGAAGUUUUAGUUUGAGAUCUACCAUUACCACCCCUAUCUAGAAGGACAAUCCCUCAACCUGUUACCAGACUGACUGUACCCAAAGUAUCCUUCCUUUCCUCUGAGGCACUCGCCCGGAUGGUUCGUACUUUACUUGGGACAAGUGGGUAAGUAUUGGUGCCUGAAAUAAUCCCCUGGGACUUAGAGCUUUGUGGUCAAACUUUGUUCUUGAAGGAUGAAACACUAGCCGACGAAGGAGCUAGAGCUUAAAAAUUUUACUAACUCUACAAGCCAUUUCCACCACUCGAUUUCUGCCGAGAAUAGUCAUAUUUCCUAGUCUUAAUCUUCUUAUUCUCAUUAGCAUUUUCCGUAUGCUUAUCACCCUUAACCUGCUGAGCAUGACUCAUAUGCCUAGAGAUGUUCAUAUCUCCAAGUAACAUAGAACUUUUGCACUAAGUAUUCAUCAAAUCUGACACUUCAAACAAGAAAUUAUUCAUCUGAGCCGUGGAUUAAGCAACCAUGCGAGGAUCAUACCUGGAAAGUUUGUUAAACUUGAGCCCAUACUUUUCAUGUUUCCCUGCCUGAAGUUCAUGAAUUCCUGAGACUUUGCUUCUCACAACUCUAUUGGGAAAAACCUGUCCAUAAAGGUCUCACUAAAGCAAUCUCAACUAAUAAGAGUUGCAUCUGUACCCCUAUUUUCUUUCCACUAAGUGUACCAGAUAUGAGCAACAUCCUUCAACUGGUAUGAUGCAAACUCAACUCGAUCAUUCCCAGUGAUUUUCAUUACCUCAAUAUUUUCUUGAUCUCAACUAAGAAAUUCUAUGGAUCCUCAUUAGUUUGUGAUCCUAAGAACUCAGGCGGAUUCAUCCUAACAACAUCACGGACCAUUAGUGCUGCUGAUCCAUCAUGUGCAUUCACAGGAGCAUGAACCCGAUUGUUUUGGUUGGCCAUACUCUAAGCUAAGAGUUGUAUAGCUUUCUGAACUCAGCAUUGGAGACUUCCUGAUCUAUGAUCGGAGGAGUUGCGUUUGCAUUCUUGGCACUCGAAUUCCUAGCAUUAGCUCUAUGAGAAGUCAUGAUCUGAAAUGUAAAACAUCAAGUUAGAGUGGAAUAAGAUCAUACCUUACACAUGAUAAGAGUAUGAAGAAAGUGAAGUUUUCCUAAAACACUUUUUAGCCUCCCUCUCAUUAGAUGUAGCGCACUUCACACCCAUGAAAAAGACUAUACCUAGUGUAGCUUUUCAGACAUUCUAGGACACUUAAAGCUAGUGAUCUGAUAGUAAGUUUUGUUACACCACGAGCUACCUCUGAGAUGCGGACACGAAACAUAGGACCAUAAGUGAUUUUUUCGAAACUUAGGACCACAAGUGAUCCCAAGAUAACCCUACUAGCACAAUAAUGACCAUACUAAAGAUAAUAAACUUAAUACGGAAGCUAAGUAAUAAUUGAAAAUGAAAUGAUGGUGAAUACCUAGAUUUGAAAACAAUGGGUUUAAUAAAGAGGAAAUAUUCACUCAAUACUAAGAUGAAACUAACUAUAUCUGAAAAAAGAAACCGACUAGGAAUGUUGGGACAUGCCCCUCCUGUUAAGUCUAGCAAGAACUGAAACUAAAUGACUAAAUGAUUGAACAGAAACUCAUGACUAUUGUCCUCAGAGAAUGAGGAACCACCACUGAAUCUGCUGAACUGGAGAUCAGGAAUCGGUCUAUGGAUAAUCUGGAUUCUGAGAACCUUAACCUACAUCACGAGAAGAUGUACACACGUAUGAGUCAGUACUUAAGGGUAAUGAGCAUGUAGGAUAGAGUAAAGCUGAAAUAAAACAUAGCUGCACAAGCACAAAAACAAGUAUAAUAAUCUAAACAUAAUAUACUGAAUUUUAAACUAACUAGAUUCAAUGACCAAAUUUAUGACAUGCUGAAACUGAAUAAUAAUUGAGUUGUAAAUAUGGUCAAUGCAUUAGAGAGUCUAGCUGAACUUUGGGAGCUACUAAUAACCGAUAAUGAAAUCAUAAGAACUAAAUGUGGAGUCCGAUGUAUAAGCCCCAUCGAGAGGACCUAAUAUACUCGGCUAGAGGUAUAAAGGUAUGAUGGAGUAGUCACUAAACUAAUUUCCCACCAAGGGGACUUACAACAUACUUGGCUAGUAGUUCUAUGACUAAUUAGGUACGCUGAACCGUAGUCCAACUCGGUAUUAUGCUACUCCCAAUGAAUAAAGUGACUAAGACAUUAUGAUUGAAUUUCUGUAAAUACUGGAUAGCUCAAAACUGAACAUGCAAACUGAGAAUGCAAUAAUUCAUUUGGUAAUUAUGCAUUUAUAACUGAGGAAUGUAUAUCUGAUGUUACUGAAAUCUGAACUAACAUGUGCAAUUCAAGAACUAAGGAAAUACAUAGCUAGGGUUCUUAAAUUCAUGCAUUUAUCUGAGUAAUAACAUCAUAAUCUUAUUUGGAACACAUAACUAAUUACUCAUGAAGUUUUUUUGAUGUUCUUGAUAUCCUAGGUCUAAUCAUGAUAUGAGAAUGAAGAAUCUGACUGAAAACUUGGGAUCUAAUGGGUGAAAGGAACCCACUAGUGAAAUUCCACAUGCCUGGUGAUGAAAUCCAUCGAGAAAUAUUUAGAUUUUGGGGGCUAGAAAUGAUGGAACCUUCCUGUGUUCAUGAACUAGGGUUCUUGACAUUUUUCUCCUUUUUUAAUCUUAUUUUCUAUGUUUUUGAUUUAUGAUUUUGACUUAGAUCAGUUUCAGUUAUAUUUCUAGGCUUAAACUAACUAAAAUCUAAUGAUUUAGGGUCAAAAUGACGUAUCUUAGACUUUAAACGAAGCGGGAAAAUACCAAAAGAUCCAUGAGUUACUUGUUGUCAGACCAAAUGACGGCCUGGACUGACAGGCCGUCGUUCAAUCGACUGUCCAUUGUUUGGGUCCGUAGGUUUUGUCUGUUCAACAGGGCUUUAUUAAAAUGGGCAUAACUUUUUACUCAGAGGUUUGAUUUUAAAAAACUCGGUGGUUAUGGAAAGAUUAUUCACUUAUAUAUGAUUUCAUAGGUGUUGGAACACCUAAUUCAUUUUGUACUAAGAGUUAUCAUCAUUUAAAGUUGACCCAACUAAAUUUUCCCCCUAAUUGUCUACUAAUUUCCACAUAUAGUAAUACAUACAGUGCGUAGGUCCAUCUACGAACCGUGCUGGUCAAUCCUGGUUCUUGUCAGAGAGUGGUUAAAUGGGAUCUUAAUUGAUAUGGACCGUAGGUCCAUCUGUCAUUCGACACUUAGUCAUAUUUUCUAGGCUAUGUCUUGAGGGAGUUUCAGUUACAAUCGACGGAUGUGCAGAUCGGGCCGUGGGCAGGCUACGGUCCGUCGUUGAUAAUCAUCGAUUGCACCUGCAGAUUUUUUAAAAGAUAAUUUUUGGUCUAUUUUGGGUAUGGGGUGUUACAGUAAGUGUUCUCUUUAUUUGUUCCAUAACUCAUUCAUCUACCCCAAGAUAAGAGUGAAGGAGAUCAGAUACCAUUUUGAAACGAAAGAUACCAAUAGAAAUCAAGUAUUAGAAAGAGGGGAGACAAGAGGAUAACACAGAGAAUUUCUUAAGUCCUAUAAAAACUCAAAGAAAAGUAAAGGAAUCCCUGCACCAUUCUGUGAGACUCUAUUAGACUCAUUUCAGUACAUCGAGAUCAAUGAACCUAGGCUCCAAUACAAAUUUUGUACGACCUAGAUCAUCGUGAUUGGCACCCACACUAACACUCCUGUGGGAGAACCACUACUAAAACCUAAACUAAGAGGAUAACCUAAAAACAAAAUCGUUUAAUUUACGGAAUCAAGUUAAAUAAAUAAAGGUAGAAGUUUUCCAUACACUUAAACAAGGAUUUUAACUAACUAACUAAAAACAUGCGGAAGCAAACAACCUUGAACUUGAAAGGUAAUAAAUACAUCUAACAGUGAUCCAAGUUUAAACAAUAAAAAACUAAUGAACAAAUCAACUAACUAUAUCAAAUGUCUACGCCAAGAAAUAGUGGAGAUAGAAGAAAGAGAAUCCUAUGGCAGCCUUGAAAAGUUUGCUCACCUUUGAAUUCGAAGAAACGAUCAAUGAUCUUCUAAGAAAGAUAUGUCAAUGGUCACAUGAAGAUGCCUUAUACUCAACAAAUAUAAGAGGUAGUGUAGAAUAUGUACAGAACCACAGUGUAUUGGCAGGAUAACAUGGCUAUCCCACUAGUGCAAUAUAAACAAUUCAAACAAAUUUAUACAUGCAUAUAUAUCAACAUAUACAAAUAUUACCAACAUGAAUAAUCAAAAACGCAUUUCACAUUUUAUAUCACCACACUGGUCGUCUCAAGAACCUACUUCAAUCGUCCUCUCAUGGAACCCUAACCCAAAUAGUUAGUUUGUCUGAACGUGGUAGUCUGAUCUCAUAUUUAUAACGGAACGUCGCAAAUGAUCCCAUUAUUAUGCAACAACGUGCAAUAGUAUGUCAAAUCGUGGAAAUACGAUCGAAGUUAGUUCUGAAAGAACGUGGCAACAAAUCCCAUUCACACACCAAAAUAACAAUCAUAAGUACGUUAUCAAGAUCAUAGAAUUAAGUAUUGAGUUCAUGGUAAUAAUAAUUCACCUCUCUCAUUUACAACAAAUAUGAUCAACAUUGGAACAUUCAUAGAUAUACAGGUAUCAUAAUUAAAGCAGGAACAAGCAUAAAUCAAUCAAAUAUAGUAUCACAACAAUCACCUACCUUGAAACAAGCUUGAAACCUAAGAAACUUAAUCCUUCUCUUUCUGGAUUCGUUCCGCUUGUUCUUGACGUACACACAUUCAAUAUAAUAUGGGAAUCAAUAUCAAUCAUUACUUACCCGAAUUACUAACAAUUUCUAAAAACCCUAGAUCAAACUCAUGAUCCUAACUAACAAAUUUAGUGUUGUCUCCACCAUAAAAUUCAUAACCGAACCCUCCCCCGUCAAUAUUGUACAUUGUUUGACCUCAAGUCAAAGUGGGGUAUAACAUUAUAAAUAUUUUUACAAAUAAGGCAAAGUAGAUGCAGAUAUUGUCAAUAGAUGAGUUAAAUAGUACUAGAGGCUCAAAGGAGCAUACAAAAAUCAAAGCAUGAAUGCAGUUAGAAAAAGUGAGUAUUCGAAAUAAAAAGUGUUAAAUUCAUCAGUAUAAUUUAUUAUUUAACGAGGUAAUUUUCCUGCCUUCGCUACCAUAAAUAAUAAUUGCAUUUAACUUGCAAAUUUUAUUUUUUCUAAUUCUAUACAUUAAAUAUAUCGUAAAAUAAUUUCUUAAAAAUAUAUGCGCUAUUUCUACAUGAAUUUGAUUAUUUGUUAUUAUCACAUAGAUCAAGAACCUCUAAUGAAUGAACUAUUGACAAAAUAAUUAAUCAUUGGUUCCUUAAUAAACAUUAAAAGGAAAAUAAACAACUUCAAAAGUGUUGCCUUUAUAUGUCAUCUGAAGAAACACUUAUAAAGUAUGACGUUAUAUCUCAUAUAAUGCAAUACUUAUAAUGUGUAACUUUAUAUCUCAUCUAGAACAACAUUUACGAAUCGUAACUUUAACAUUGGACGUCCUACAUCAAUUCUUUUGAAUCACAUAUAUGCAAUAAAUAAUCACAAAAUUAAGUAUACAAGUCCCUAAAGCACAAAAUUAACUAAUAAUUAAAUCAAAGCUAUAUAUUUUAAAUAAACUUCGAGAAACAUGUGUUGCACAACGAAUCCUUAGAAAGUGAAUGCUUAAAGAUCUCUAAUAUAAUUAAAUUUAAAAAAAAUCAAAUGCAUUCAAAGACAUAUGACAAUAGUAGAAAAGGUCUUCAUCGUUCACUACAAUAGAUCUAGUUUACUUCUGAUCACAGUUCAAAGUCAAUUACCGACAUUUUCCUACACAUUCAAAAUAAAUUUAUAAGUUAGUGAAAUAAAUAUGUAAGUGAACAUAAAUAAUUAAAAGAAAUCAUAAUGAAAUGCAUUAAUGUAUGCAUAUAUGUCGAUUCAAAUGUAUAUCUCGGCCCCACAAAUACAAGUAUGCAUAUAGCCAAUCUGUAAGCAAUUAAGAUUUAGCUAAUGUGCAUUCAUUCUUGUACGUAUUAAUAAAAGAUAAUGCCCGUCUAACAAAUAAGCUUCCAUAAGAGGAACAUUUUUGUCCAUGUGAUACGGAUCAAUCUACAACAAAGUGCUUUUACCUACAUGAACAUAACAGGUACAUCAAUUUGCAACAAGAACUCAUCUCAUGUUGCACCAUUUGCACUCUGAAAGAUUUGCAACUAGACUUAUAAAAGAGAUUUUUUUAAAUGACUGUAUAUAUUAAGUAAUAGACAAACUACAAAAAUGGUAAAUACAUCAUAAAGAUAAAUUUUGCAUGCAUUCAUAUGUUGUAAAUAUUUUCACGGUAGUAUAUACAUACAUGCCUAAACAGAUUCACCUUUACAGUUUGGACAACUUCUUCUUGUAAGUGUCAUGUACACUCACUGCACAUUACCACAAAUGAAAGCCACAACUUCGAAUAUGGAGAAAGAAAUUUUUUACACUAAUGAGUCACAAGAAUCAAUAAUUUGCUACAAGCAUUUAGUUCAAAUACGUUUCUUCUAUCUAAGUUAAACAUGAAAGAUAAUCUUAGAAGAAGAAAAAUCAUAGAAAUCAAGAGCAUUGGAUACUCUAGCCAUCACCAAACACGUCUUCCAUUUUUUUUUCCUUUGCCUUUUUUUUUAUCGUGUGACCUAUGUGUUGUGGAACAUAAUGAUUAAAAUGUAUUAAACAGUUACUUUAUAGCACAAACAUACUCAAAAUCAGAAUAAUUUUUAAUUACUCAAAUUUGUAGUGUUUAUAAGUUAUCAAAUGCACAAAAUUAUCUUACAUGGAACUUCAAAUUAGCUGAAAGGAUCAGUUUCAAUAAGCUAAGAAUGAUGGAGACCAGAUCAAGAAAAAUUGGUUGAUGAGCUAAAAAGUUGCUCUCCUCGCCUUUGCUAUUAUUAAAGCUAUCCCCUAGGCAAGUCUAUUAUUUUCUUCAGCAAUGCAAGCCAAUUUCUUCUUAUCUGUUCAUCGUCCUACAGUAUGCAUAGAGAACAAUUGAAAUAAUAAUAGGAAGUUCAAAGUGUGCACUAUAGUUGUAUCAACACUCGAGAAUCAGGCGUAGAUUUACGAAUGUAUCAACACUGAAGAAUACACCUACGUCUAGCCACAAAAUUUGUCUCAUCUGUCAAAGGAGAAAAUUAAGAGAAGGUUGUUACCAAGGAAAACAUACCUGAUAAUUCAUGUCCAUCUUCCUUUGUACAACUGUGACAGAGUUUUCUGUGGGAAAUAAUUGAAUAAGAAUCAGAAUAAAGAAGGUAAGUUUUUUAGUGUAGCUAAAAGGAUGGAUGGUUCUUUCACAGAUAAAUUCAAGAAAAAAAUAUAUAAAAUGGUUAGUGCAAAGAAUACUAGGCUUUUGAUUUUGCUGGGUCAUUGUAUAAUCCUUUAAUUCAUAUAUGUCACCUCCAUUGAACAACAACUUUGACUUCGACAGUAGAGAAGUUUCGACUAGGUUUUGGAUUGUGAAACAACCCGGAUGACCACUUGUACUUCUGCUCCACUGCACCCCGCACAACAGCUAUAAUAAAAAACUCCACUUAAGUUGAUUGUAAUAUAAGACCCAAGGUGCAAAGUGUAGUUCAUCGUAAUAUAAUAUCAAGAUAAUCUUCCACGUUCCCCUAUUUUCUGAAGGCACAAAUUCAAGAAGCCAAGAUCCAUGAACAGGUACACCAAUUAGGAGAGCAAGCUCGUGGAGGUCUCUAUAAAUAUUCACAUCGAUAGUGAUGUCAAAUGAUGUUAUGCACAUGAUCUGAACCAAAGACUAACAAACCUGAAAAACAGCAGUGUAGUUCAGUGUUCAUAAUGUUAUUCUUACAAUAACCUUUAUUUAUAAGGUUAAUAAACAGAAACAGAAAUAAGUUGAGACAGAAAAAAUAUAAAAUACAAGAACUAAUCCGAGUCCACAGAAACUAUUGUGUGUCCUUAAAAAUUUAAUCCCCUCAUUGUACCCAAGGUUAUGGAUUAAAUUCUCCCAAGAUAAAACGGAUUAAACUUGUUAAAGAAAUAACGGUACCUCAAACUUCUGUAACUUCAACGAACUUUUGAACACCAACAAGUCACACAGGCUCAGUCGAUCGACACUUUGAUUUUAUUUGAGAGAAAAAUAAAUGCAGAGAAAGAAAAAUUUUUAGUGUUUUAAAAAAUCGAAAAUUGACUUCCUUUUAUAGCCAUUUUCUACAAGGAACAUAUCUGUUCAGAUCCAUUUUAUCCAGAAAGUUGUGUCUCUUGGAAAAAAAUAACAACUUUUAAAAAAAAUUGUGUGUGUUAGGAAAAUAACGACUUUUCAGAAAGUAACGACUUUUUGGAAAGAGUAACAACUUUUCGGAAAACUAAUUAAAUAAAUUUUGUCCAAAAAAUAAUCAAAAUCCAAAUCCGAAGUCGAAACCGAGGCCGAGCGACGACGACGCGAGGGGGCACUUCUUCUUAGCUCUUUAAGAAGUAAUGGAAGUGUUUCCUUCUAUAAGGACAACAAUUUCCCUUUCUUUUGCCAAUAUGGGAGAAAUGACUUUUCAUUUGCACUUUGCAAAUGACUUUUCAUUUUCCCUCCAAAGUAGUUCUCUCACCUUUUCAUAUUCUCUCUUUUCUUUUCCCAUUCACACUUGCUAAAUCCCAACAAUCUCCCACAUGAAUGGGGAAGGCUAUUGUUAAAACAUAUGCAUGAAAAAACUUGUGUGUCUUGUAUGUAAAGGUUAAUCGUAUCUGGAUAAGUAGGUUUCCCUUUAAAGUUUCCAUAGUGACCAUAUAUCGGAUAUACUCGGUCAAUCGGUAGAUUUGAUAUCUUUGAACCGUCGAGCUUUGGUGUAUACCUAGACAACAUAUGUCACACAAUCAACCCUUGAACUGUUCUUAGUUCUCAUUGUUUUGUUCGUUUCAGCCAUGAACACAUCUUGGAUAGUAAGUUCUUAAAGAACUGGCCUUAGCAGAUUCUCCUUGAAGCGGCUUACACUUCACACUAACAUAGGUGAUUUCUAAAUGUGUUAUCCCAUAGAUACACCAUUUGAUAUUCCCUGUAUCAAACUUAGAAACCAUUAAAAAAUUUCUUAUGUCUUUAUCCUGGUUACUAAACAUUGUCUCAUCACGAGAAUGGACCAUAAAAUAAUAAUAAUUUUUUUUCCUUUUCCUUUGACAAUGUUGAACCGUCAUCAAUGAAUUUAUUUUAUCUACUUGAACCUAGAUCUUAGGAUCUCCAGUCUUCUAGGUAGAGUUACCGCCACGAUGACUUGUUCUCGGCCAUAGUCCCAUUCCCGUCGAUGAUUUCUCAACUCCCUCUAUAUUUAGUCCUUUUGUAAGUGGAUUCGACACAUUGUCUUUUGACUUCACAUAGUCAAUUGUGAUAAUUCCACUAGAGAUUAGUUGUCUCACAGAGUUAUGUCUUUGUCUUAUGUGACAAGACAUGUCGUUAUGCAUAAUGCUUCCAGCCCUUCCUAUUGCAGCUUGACUAUCACAAUGUAUGCAUAUAGGGGCCAUUGGUUUGGGCCGAAAUGAAAUAUCUUUUAAGAAAUUCCGGAGCCAUUCAGUUUCUUCACCUGCCUUGUCUAAAGCAAUGAAUUUAGACUCCAUUGUAGAGCAAGUUAUACAUGUUUGUUUGGAUGAUUUCCAAGAUAUCCUCCACCAAUAAUAAAAACGUAUCCACUUGUGGAUUUUAUUUCAAUUGACCCAGUAAUCUAAUUUGCAUCACUAUAUCCUUCAAGAACGGCUGGAUAUUUGUUGUAAUGUAAAGCAUAGUUUUGAGUGUCAUCAAAGUAUCCCAGAACUCUCUUCAUUGCCAACCAAUGAUUAUGAUUAGGGUUACUUGUGUAUCGACUCAGUUUACUGAUAGCUUAAGCUAUGUCUGGUCGUGUACAAUUCAUGACAUACAUUAAGCUUCCCAAUACGCUAGCAUAGUUUAAUUGAGACUGACUUUCAUCUUUAUUCUUUGCAAGAUGAAGAUUUACAUCAAUUGGAGUCUUUGCCCUUUUAAAAUUCAAAAAUUUGAUUUUUUUCAAGUAUCUUUCGAAUAUAAUGAGUUUGACACAAUGCUAGACCAUUAGGAUUUUUAAGAAUUUUAAUUCUAAUAUCACAUCAGCAACUCUUAAAUGUUUCAUAUCAAACUUACUAGCAAGCAUACGCUUUGUAGCUUUUAUAUUAGCAAUAUCUUUGCUCAUUAUAAGCAUAUCAUCUACAUAUAGACAUAAAAUAACUUCCUGAUUUGGAGUAUCUUUAAUGUAAACACAUUUAUCACAUUCAUUGAUCUUAAAUCUAUUUGACAACAUGAUUUGAUCAAACUUUGCAUGUCAUUGUUUUGCUGCUUUUUUUAGCCUAUAAAGUGACUUAAUAAGUUUGCACACUUUCUUUUCCAGGAACUACAAAACCCUCUGGCUGUUCUAUGUAAAUUUCCUCUUCAAGCUCUCCAUUUAAGAAGACUGCUUUCACAUCCAUUUGAUGAAUUUCAAGACCGUAUACUGCAGCUAGUGCAAUUAACAUCCAAAUUAAUGUAAUCCUAGUCACUGGCGAGUAUGUGUCAAAAUAAUUAAGACCUUCUUUUUGUCUAAAACCUUUGACAACAAGUCUUGCUUUAUAUUUGUCAAUAGUUCCAUCGUCUUUCAUCUUCCUUUUAAAGAUCCAUUUUGAACCCAAGGGUUUGUUCCCUUGAGGAAGAUCAACCAACUCCCAAGUAUGAUUGCUUAAGAUUGAUUCAAUUUCACUAUUAACAUCCUCCUUCCAAGAGGUUGAGUCGCUAGACAACAUUGCUUCCUUGAAUGUUUGAGGCUCACUUUCAAGAAGAAAUGUUACAAAAUCUGAUCCAAAUGAAGUAGAUGUCUUUUGACGUUUACUGCAUCUUGGACUUGCUCCAUUUUGUUCAUUCUAUUUUGGUUCUUCUCUUGGUUGUUUAGAUACCCCACUAGAUGACUCAAGUCUAGUUUUAUACGGAUAGAUAUGUUCAAAAAAUUCAGCACUAUCUGAUUUCAUUACCGUAUUAUCAUGAAUAUCCGGAUGUUUGGACUUAUGAACCAAAAAUCGACAUGCCUUACUGUUUGUGGCAUAUCCAAUGGAUACACAAUCCACAAUCUUAAGUCCUAUUUUUACCCUCUUAGGUAUAGGAAUUUGGACUUUGGCUAGACACCCCCACACUUUGAAAUAUUUCCAAUUAGAUUUUCUACCUUUCCAUUUCUCAUUUUGAAUAACAUUUGUCUUUGAGUGAGGCACUCUGUUAAGUAUCUGAUUUGCUGUAAGGAUAGCUUCCCCCCACAAGUUCUGUGGUAAACCUAAACUUAUAAGUAAUGCAUUCAUCAUUUCUUUUAAAGUUCGAUUUUUUCUUUCUGCAAUUCCAUUAGACUGAGGAGUGUAGGGAGAAGUAGUUUGAUGGAUUAUUCCAUUUUCUAAACAUAUUUCUGCAAAUGGAGAUUCAUAUUCUCCACCUCUAUCACUUCUGAUCAUUUUGAUCUUUUUAUCUAACUGAUUUUCAACUUCAGUUUUAUAUUGCCUAAAUGCAUCUAUUUCUUCAUCCUUACUAUUUAGCAAACAGACAUAACAAUAUCUAGUGCAAUCGUCAAUAAAAUUUAUGAAAUACAUUUUCCCACCACGUGAUUGUGUUGACUUCAUGUCACAAAUAUCAGUGUGAAUUAAUUCUAAAGGAUUUGAAUUCCUUUCAACAGAUUUAUAAGAAUGCUUAGCAUACUUAGAUUCAACACAAAUUUGACAUUUUGAUUUAUUGCACUCAAAUUUUGACAAAAUAUUUAAGUUAAUCAAUUUUCGCAAGGUUUUGUUAUUAACGUGUCCCAAACGUUUAUGCCAUAAACAUUUAGACUCAAGCAAGUAAGAAUAAGCAAAAUCUUUAUUCAUAUCAACUGCAAUUACAUUGAGUUUGAAAAGUCCAUCACUAAGGUAGUCUUUUCCUACAUACAUAUCAUUUUUGCUUACUACUACUUCAUCAGAAACAAAUACAUAUUUAAAUCCAUUCUUGGUCAGAACUGGAAUUGAAACUAAAUUCUUUCUCAAUUCUGGAACAUAUGAGACCCUAUUAAAAGUCACCACCUUGCCUGAUGUCAUCUUUAAUAGGACUUUGUCAGUUCCUUCCACCUUUGCAACAGCGGAGUUUGCCAUAAACAAUUUUUCAUCUGUAAGUGCUGGAGUAUAUGAUGAAAAUAAUUCUUUGUUGGCAGAAACAUGGCAUGAGGCACCAGAAUCUAUCCACCAUUCUCUUAGAUUUCCAUCCAAGUUACAUUCUGAUAGCAUUGCACAUAGAUCGUCCAUGUCUCCUUUGGAUUCAGCAUAGUUUGCUUGAUCAUUCUUUUUCUUGUCCUUCUUAGGACCCCGUCAUUCAUUAUCCCUAUGAUCAUGUUUACCUCAAUUGAAUCAUUUUCCAUUGAAUUUCUUCUUAGGAGGAUUGCUUUUUGGACCAGAUGCUUUCUUUCUUUUCUCUAAUUUUGUGGGAUCUUCUUCAACAAAAUUUACUCCAGAUAUUGUUGAAUCACCACAUGACCUCUUUUCUGUAGCCUUAUUAUCCUCUUCGAUCCUCAACCUUACUAUGAGAUCUUCAACAGUCAUCUCUUUGCAUUUGUGUUUCAAGUAAUUUUUAAAAUCCUUCCACAAUGGAGGUAACUUCUCAAUAAUUGCAGUCACUUGAAAAGCAUCAUUCCCAAUCAAUCCUUCAGCAAGGAGAUUAUGGAUUAUGACCUGCAAUUCUUAAACUUGGGUGACGACAGUCUUAUUGUCUAUCAUCUUAUAGUCCAGAAAUUUUGCCACAAUGAAUUUCUUCAUUCCGACAUCUUCUGUUUUGUACUUCUUUUCUAAAGCAUCACAUUGUUCUUUUGAGAUUUUGGCAUUGCUGUACACAUUGUGCAGAUCAUCUUGCAGACCACUCAAAAUAUAAUUUUUACACAAAAAAUCUAAGUGUGUACAUGAUUUUGUUACCAAUAAUCGUUCAUGAGCCGGAGUUUCAUCUGACAUAAUAGGAAUAUUCUCAUUAAUGAACUUCUGCAGACUGAACGUAGUGAGAUAGAAGAACAUCUUUUGUUGUCAUCUCUUAAAGUUGACUCCAGAAUACUUUGCAGGUUUCUCAACCGGCGCUAAGACAGCAUUUGAACGAUUAUGUGCAACCUUUGUUAUUGCAGCACUUACUGUUCCAGCAUUGUUUGACUUGAAUUAGUCAUUUUUUCUGUCACAAAUGACAGAUAAGUUAAGUAUUUAAAAUACUAACAGUAAAGAACAAAUCUUUACACAAACUGUUUUUGAUUUAAUGAUAACGUCUUUAUGUUCUUUUAAUCGUUAAUUGAAUGAUUUUUUUAAAAAAAUUCAAGCAGAGUAGAAAACCAUAAAGGUUUUAAUCUCCAGAAAACAGAAACACAAAUAAGAUGAAGCAGAAAAAAUAUAAAAUACAAGAACUAAUCCGCGUCCACAGAAACUACUGUGUGUCCUUAAAAAUUUAAUCCCCUCAUUGUACCCAAGGUUAUGGAUUAAUUUCUCCUAAGAUAAAACGGAUUAAACUUGUUAAAGAAAUAGUGGUACCUCAAACUUCUUUAACUUCAACGAACUUUUGAACAGCAACAAGUCACACAAACCCAGUCGAUCGACACUUUAAUUUUAUUUGAGAGAAAAAUAAAUGCAGAGAAAGAAAAAUUUUCAGUGUUUUAAAAAAUCGAAAAUUGACUUCCUUUUAUAGUCAUUUUCAGCAAGGAACAUGUCUGUUCAAUGAAAUCUGUUCAGACCCAUUUUAUCCAAAAAGUUGUGUCUUUUGGAAAAAAUAACAACUUUUCGGAAAAUUGUGUCUGUUAGGAAAAUAACGACUUUUUUGAAAGUAACGACUUUUCGGAAAGUAACGACUUUUCGGAAAGAGUAACAACUUUUCGGGAAACUGAUUAAAUAAAUUUCUUCCAAAAAAUAAUCCAAAUCCAAAACUGAGGCCGAGCGAGCGACGACGGCGCGAGGGGGCAUCUUCUUCUUAGCUCUUUAAGAAGUAAUGGAAGUGUUUCCUUCUAUAAGGACAACAAUUUUCCUUUCUUUUGCCAAUAUGGGAGAAAUGUGUUUUCAUUUGCACUUUGUAAAUGACUUUUCAUUUUCCCUCCAAAGUAGUUCCCUCACUUUUCAUAUUCUCUCUUUUCUUUUUCCAUUCACACUUGCUAAAUCCCAACACAUAAAACACUAAAUAAUAAACUGUAGGAAUCACAACUGGAUCCCACAUGCACUACACCAUGAGGUUAGAGUUAACAGUUGCAGGGUACAAUCAAAACAAAAUGUAGUUGCUGGUGAACUGAAGUUUGAUGAUCAAAAAACAUUUAAAUGGUAUACACACCAUGCCACCUAAUCUUGCUCCUAAAGGAAAUCAGAACAUAAGUGAAUCGAACUACUUAUAUUGCUUUUACUUUAGCUUGCAGCCUUCCAGAACCAAACUCUCUCACACACAAGUUUUUCUUGCUAGGUGCAAGAGCAACCGUUGCAUAAGGGUAAAACAUAUCGUGAAAUCCUUGCAAAAGACUCCAGAAAAACUAAAGAACCUUAACAAAAUAUGAAAAAGAAACAAGAACAACAACAAUUUAAAGCUAAUUGGCAAAGUUCUUUUUUAGGUAAAAAGCUGAGAUCUUUUUGUUAUACGUUAGAAAAAUAACCAGCUUUAUACCAAACAAUAUAGCAAAUUGGGGGCAUGCAUAUACAUUACACUCCAGAAACAACUCAGAAAGGAUGCAUCUUUGAGACACAAAUUACACUCCAAGCAAUAUACUUCACGCGUGCAUACCCACACAACCUUUUCCACUCUCUGCAUAUUUUCAAGAGUAACUAUACUUGGGAAUUAGGAUAAUCUGCAAGGGUAAAACAUGUAGUGAUGGAUAUUCUGAGGAAUGAUAAUUAUAUUGAAUUCAGAUUCACAAACAUAUGAAAAGUUAAAUUUCUUCAUAAAGCCUAGACUUGUGCAAAAUAGUAAGACAUAAAUGUAUGAAAUGUUAAGAAAAGAAAACUACAAUUUGAUGGCAAAACUGCAAGACUUUUACAGCUUCUGCUUGGAAUAUGACAAUAUAUGCAUAUAAUAGAACCUCGUAAGUUCCAUUGCAUUCAACUUACAACCAUGAAACCCACACGUAUUUCUUAUAACCGCAUUCAUGUUGUUCUCUCCUGUUCCUAGAGUACCAUCCUUAUUACUUUUAUCCACAUAUUCCUGAAAAGCACUCAUUCAAAACUUCCAGCAAUACUCUCUAUGCUUAGUUCCUCCAUUAACGACUAGUAACAAUCUCUAUGAAUACACUCGAGAUGCUUGUGCUCAAGUGAAGCAUUCUAGUGUGUCGCGUUCAUCUGAGGCGUAACCUUUCAUCUCUUCAACAAGAAAUUGUGAAAUUUUGUUCUUCACUUUUCAAUGUGAAAUCCUGAAACCUGUGAGAAUGUUUGAUGGAAAUUGUGCCCUUCAGACUUAGUUUGAAGAGAAAAUCGUGUUCUUCAAAUGGACAGAAUUUUUUUCUGAUUCAGCACGCAUUUCUUCAAUGAUUCAGCAUGUUGUUCUUUGAUUCGUGGAGAAAGUUUGAUGGAAAGAAAAGCUCAACUCGAUUUAGGGGACUCACUGUGUUUUUCGGGAGUUUGAAAAGAAAGUGACUAUUUGGUGUACGUGACAAUUAUGUGAUUAAUGAUUAAGAAUUGUGAAGUUUCCCUCAAGUUUAUAAGUUGACAGUUUGGUUCAUUGAAUUAAAUGAAGGGUAAAAGGUAAAUUGACUUAAACCUAAAUUAACCAAUUUUGGUGGGAAUUUAAAUUGGGAGAAGCCACUAGCAAGCUGUACCAAAAAGGGAAAUAAAAUAUUUUCCACCACCUCUCGUCAUAUUUAUUUUCUUCCUCUUCUUCUUCGUUUUUCUUGCAUGCUUGCUUAUCUUUCUUCCCGUUCGCUUUAUCUUUUUCUUCUUCUUUUUCGUACAUUAUUGGUCUUGGCUGCUAGUCAUUGACCUUUCUUCUUUUAUUCUUCUUGAAUCAGAUUUAACUAAUUUAAUCACUGGAUUAUAUUUUGUUUGUUCUCAAUUAAAAUUACUUCAUAAAUGAUUAGGGUUCCCACAAUUUUUUUAUAUGUAAAAUUAAUAUUUCUUUGAAAUCGUUUAUCAUACUUUGGGCACGUGCAAUUUUUUAAUAUUUGUAUUCGCAUUUCCAACAUAUUGCUAUACGUUGCAACAAGUGACUAUUGGAAUAAAUUAUAGACAUAUAUAUCAACAGAAAUGUUAUUUCAAUAGCAACAUAAUUGAAGAUGUUGCAACAUAUAACUUACACAAAAUGUAGCAUAUAAUCUAGACAUGUAGCAACAUAUGACUUACAUGUUACAAUCGACAUGAUAUUUAUAUAAUACCCUUGUAAAUCAUUGUUUCAAGUGUUAUAUCAUAUUUUAUUGCUUAAUUAUGGUUUAAAGUACUAAAAUUUUGUCCAAUUUGAGAUUUUUUCAUUCUUAAAUCGCUCAAUUUAUCGAUUAGGACAUCCCUAAACUGACAUAUGUGGAAACAUAUGCACAUUCGAUUGGGAAAAUUGCAAUAGAAAUUCAUGUGGCAACAUAUGUAUAUCAUAAAAUGAUCUUUUGGGGGUUAAUUCAAUUAAAUUGUCACCUAAUUCAACACGUAACACUAAUAUAUAGUCCUACAACAUGUCUAAGUACAAAAUUAUGGUGUAAUACAACAACCUUCAUCAAUUCUAUCAAUUAUUUUUACAAAGAAUAUCAUUUACCACUAGUUCAUCAUACAAUGACCAAAUAACUACAUAUGAUUGUUAUAUAACACCCUUGUAAAUCAUUAUUUAAAGUGUUAUAACAUAUUUUUAUUACAUAAUUAUAGUUUAAAUUACUAAUGCUAAUAUUACAUAUACAUUUUAUCAAAUUAGGGAUUCUUAGGUUUGUUAAUUUUCUUUCUAAAAUAAUAAAUAAUAGGUACCAUCACACUAUUAUUCAUUUUUCACAUCUAUAGAAAAAUUUAUUCUUCAUUAACCCAAGAAAAAAACUUACUAUUGUUCUAAAAUUGUAAAAUCUCUCAAAAAAUGACAUACACAUUUUAAGUCAAACACAAUCUUCAGUUAAGAAAGAGGAGAGAGUCACGACCAGAGAUUAGAAGGAAUAUAAGAUAAUAGGGGAGGAUAUUUGUAUUGAUAGUCGGAUUUUCAGAUUUUCUAAAGAGGAAGAAAAAGAGAAGAGAGAACAUUGAAAUAAGAAUAAGAGAAAUACCUAUUUUAAUUUACUUUUUUUUUUUAAAAAAAGAAUGGUUCGGAUAGACUUAUAAAAUUUGAAAAAAUGAAAAGCUUUUUUAUAUUUUAUAAAUGAUUAAAAUCUUUUAAAAAUAUUAAUUUAUUCCAAAAUUUACUUAAUUACAUUGUAAAGAUGAUUUGACCAGCUUGUGGUCAAUCUGUCACCAAAAACCAAACAAAGACUUAUUUGACACCUUUCAUUUAAUUUUCUCGUGCUCUUCAGUACUAGAUUUCUGAUUUGGGGCAUAUGUAAUUUUUUUAGUUGUUUAUAAAAAAAAAUUUAAUUAAUAAAAAUGGGUGAAAGAUUUACAAGGUUGGAUGAAAUAUGUUGAAAAUUUUGAAGGCCACAUUUUCGAUGUGUUGUUUUUCAUUUAUAAAAAUAGGACACUUUAAAAGUGUGACAAUAUAUGUAAAUAGUUUUUGCUAAUUAUAUUAUACUUUAACAACGCUUAUAAAGUGUAACUUAUACCAAUGAAGAGUAAACUUUACAAGUGUUGCCAAUAUUAUCGGAGCCAAAAAUCAAAAACAUUGACUACGCAUUAAAAGCACUCUCAAAACUAUUUUAAGCAACACUUUACUAGCGUUGUCCAGAUUUUAGUGUGGUCAUAGACCUAAAUGGUGUGAUACUUUCAGAGCUAUUUGGAGUCUUCAAAAAAGAAUUUUACCAUGCAAGAAGUCUCAUUUCUAGACACAUCAACAUUGCUCGAUUUGAAAGGGGGCAUCUUGUCUUCUGCUUUGCGUCUAUCUCUUUUCAAAAGCUCAUGCAAUAUGUGUUGUAAAUCUUACGGAAAAUACCUUCUUGGGGAACACUAUACCAAAUUAUUGUACUUCACAAAUAACUCUUUAAGAAACUUCUUAUAGCUUGAGGUGUGUCGAAAGACAUUGUCCAUAAGGAUAUUUCACCUGGUUUGGGUGUAUCCCCCCAGGAUUUAACAUGUUCUUCUAGUAUAAAACUAGGAUCGAAAUGUUAAGGUAUAUGCUAUUAAUAAUGUGUUUUGACAUAGUAUUCUAACAAUAUUCAAUAUUAAAUAUCUAAGUGAGAGAUUGUUAGGGUAUAUACUAUUAACCAUGCAUUUGGAUAUAGUACAUUAUAACAAUUGUGAUAGUCAAAAGUGUAAGUGAGAGAUUGUUGGAAUGUCUACUAAUAACCAUGUGUUAAGAAAUAAUAUUUAUUAGAGAAUAAAUAUUUACAAAAAUUCAAUAGAUCAUAUAUUCGUUUAUGGUGUCUAUUUACUUAUAUACUAGAUGAUUUAGUGUGUAUAGUUUUAGCUUAUACAUAGAGGAUAAUCAUUGGUUCUUAUAAGAAUAAUGUUUUUAGUUCACAAUAAGGGAUGAAAAUUGGAUAUGCCAUCGGGUACGAUUGUAGAACAAGAUUAUGUGUAAUUUUUCAUGAUUAUGGGAACGAUAUAGUUCCAAUUUUUUGUGCUAGUCAUUUUUUAUGUAUUGAACGGGACCGAGUAGAGAUAGUUAUUUUAGACUGGCUGACAAAAACAUCUUCGCUAAACUAUUAAAUGUACUUAUAUUCUUAAUCUUGAUAUAACUAUUAUGAUCUGUAUAUAUUAAUUAUCGUUUUGAUUUAUUAAAUGAUGAGAUUCUGAGAUGGGUCAAUAUGUCUGUUAAGUUGGAUGAUAAUAAUAUAUAUUGAUGAAAUAAUAAGUUAGUUGAUGGAAUCCAUGUCUCGUUAUAGAUAUCGAUUGAUAUGCCUUUUGAAAAACUUAUAUGUUUUCAUCGUGUCAAAUCUUGCAAGUGGAUUUAUGUAUCCGACACAUGAAAUAAGUUAUGUAGUUCUCUAAGGGAAAUUAAUCAUUAAGUUAAAUUCCUCAGUAAUUUAAUCUAUUGAUUAGUAUUUGAAAUCUUAACAUCAGGAAUUACAUCAGUGAUUAAUAGGGAAUUACGAAAUAGAGGAGUGCAAUUACGAAUUUCUAGCGGAAUGAUUUAUAAUUUAUUAUGGUACGAAAUAAUUUAAAUUAAUUAUUUGGAAUUAUAUCCAUAAUACAAAAUCUCGGUAAUUAAUUAUGUGCUCCCUAUAGUACCCAUAUUUAAGUAGAACUCAUAAUCCUAUUUUUAUGCAAAAAAGGAAGAAUAAUAUAAAAUUUUCUAGUCCUUCUAUAUUGCAAGUGCAAGUCGACGUUCCUGAUAUGAAAGUGAAAGCCGGCCCUAAGCAGGAUCCAAAGACGUUUAAGUCCAGUUCCAAUCUGGAUAUAAAAGUAAAGUUCAAUCGUCGAAAGUGAGAUCUCUUUUAGUCCGGUCUUCUUUUCUCUUUUGAGUCAGGUUCUUAAGACAGGAAAUCGGGUUUUCUGAAUAUCUCUCUUCCGGCCGCCGGCCUGGCCUAUUAAGUAAGUUAGUUAGAGAUCGAAACUGGACCUGAGAGAGACUAGACUUCUAGUAAGAGUAGGUGCGCCUUAAGUUGAGGAGAGCUGUUCACAAGCAGUGGUUAUGAGCUCUUUCUUGUUCCGGUUCAGAAGAGGCUGCGCACCUUCAGUUGCACUAGUGGAUUGAAUAACCUUUUUUUUGAGUGCCAACAAAGUGCAUGUGUUCUUGGUUAAUAAAAACACAAGUAUAGGCUGGAGGACUGAUACUAUAAGUAGGACAAAGGCCUUCAAAGAGAAAUGAAAGGAUUUUUUGAGCAUUUUUCCACUUAUCCAAGGAAUCCCUUUCUUGACAUUUGUAUUUGAGAGAGAGAGCUAUGCUUAGGUCAGUUCCUUCAGUCAACUUUUUUGGUAAGCCAAAAGUGAACUUUAGGUAAGUAAGUAGUCCCGUAUGAAAUUCAGAAAACAUUCAUAUCUGGCACUUGAGGAGGUCAAUCUUAAGUGUUGGAAGCUACUGCUAAGGGACUCCCCCUCAUCUAGAAAGGAUAGGCAAUUGAGAGAGAAUAGGGCGAUAGCGACAGACACAGGAACUGAAAUAGAUUUAAAGAUUACUUCCGUAGAGGAGAGGGGAAGGCUGCUUAGAUAGGGCGAUAGCCCGGUUUUUAUUGUUUAUCCUUUCCUGCGCUUGUCUUGUAUUGAGGUAUACCGAAGAGAUUCGUAAAAGUAGGUAACAGAAGGGGAGGGAUUGCUGUUUUUUAUUAGUGAGGACAAGCCGCUUUCAUUUUCAACAAUCUAAUGCCACACCAACCCUUUAAAGAGUAGGCGGUUCGUAUCUUUCUAUGACCCCCAAGAAGUAGGAGGAUAGGCAGAGCAAGAGCUCUUGAAGUCUACCCGGGCGCGCUUCUUCAUUCAUCCAUUUAGGCCCGGCUAGGAACACGUGGAUCCAGGGAACCUGGCUCGGGAACAGCUUCUUACUAGUAGGAGCUAAUCACAGUAAGAGAGUCCAAUCUCUGAAAUAGAGCUUAGUCUCUCCAUAGUAGUCUACUAGUAGAAGGCUUAGGUUAUGACUUGAUCCAAUAGAGUCAGAACACCCUUCUAUCUAAAAGAAAUGGUGCUCGAUGAAAGGAUCCAGAUUCCACACUAUGCUGUGGGCUGGGGAGAGAGCUGCUCUGCGAAGCUGGGCGUUCAGUGUUCUUAUGGAGGAAGCAUACUAGAAAGAGAAUUGAAAGGGCCUUCAAAAAAGAGCGAGGGGGUGAUGGGCAACCUUAGUCUAUAUGUUGCUCGUGAGCCGCCAAGUACCAGUCUCGCAACAGUAUUGGCGCAAAAAAAAGGAUCGGUCCUUCACUUGCUGAUCGUUCGCGAGUCGAACUCGCUCUCUUGCCACGCCUUUCACUCACUCGCUUGAGUCGGACUCAAUCACUCUUUGAGUUUGGAGGAUCAUUCGUUAUUCACUCUCUUGCUAUUACCCGCAGGGAGCGCAGCAACCAAGAUGCAUAUUAUCAUAUAGAAAGAGGCGAAGCGUAGCGAUUCGUACUACCGGAAAAGUUUCGCUAACCGGCAGGCAAUAGAAUCAGCCGAUAGGCGCAGGCAAGCGUAGCGAAUCACAUAGAUAAGACCCUACCUGCCAGCGCGCGGAUGGAUAGGGCGGGCGAAGCGCGAAGGGGAUGGAUGUCUGAGCGGUUGAAAGAGUCGGUCUUGAAAACCGAAGUAUUUUUAGAAAUACCGGGGGUUCGAAUCCCUCUCCAUCCGCGUGAACAUAACAUGUAAUGUUGUUACGAAUGUAACUCCCGAAGGAUCGACCACUAUUCUAAAUAUAGUAAGGCGGAGAACUGUUGUUCAGUGGAGCGCCGGAGUGCGGAGGUUGUUCCCAUCAUUGAAGUCAGGGUGUGGGACUGAGCCUUCCGAAUGAGAAAGAAGAAAAGUGCUUAGUUUCGUUGGAAAAACCAACGCAAAUAUCAUAUUGACUUUCUCUCGCCCUACUUCUAAAGAUAGAUAGAAAGGGUUGGAGAGAAUUUCAGAAAGUCAUUCUCUCCUUUCUAAAGCUGCGCAAGGCGGCCCCCCCAGAACAAAGCCCACCCCUCUUUUCCCCCCUUUAAUGAAGGACCCUCGCCUCGCUUCCUAUUCAUUUGUGGGUCUGGACCCUAUUUUUUUUUUCAAUUUCGAGAAGAAUGGGAAAUUUUUCUCGCAGACAACGGUGCUCUGGUCGAAAAUUAGGGGAUCAAUAAAAUAACAACACCCACCUAACCUAAUUAAUGUGGUGUGGAAGGGCAAGCGAUAGAAAAGUCCCUCGCGCGAACUACUACUACUAGAAAAUGGUGAGACCAUUAGUGAAAGAAGGACCAAACCAAGGAGGAUCCUCGAAUCCAGAUCAAGCCCCUGAAGCUGGAAGAUUGCGCAUCCGAUCAUCGAGCGGCGCAGGUACACUCUUUCCUUUUUUUUAUCCCACCUGAUGAUUCAACUGAUUUUUUUCAAGCAAUCGCAACUACUUUCUUUCUCUUCCACUGCCUUCCCACGGACAACAUAAAGCACCAACAGCGUCCGAGAUUACUAGAUAGAGGAGAGACCUGUACUGAAAGUUGAAAGUAAGAAAGCUUAGUUAAAUGAAAGUUCUUUCAACAUUUGUAUCUGCCUUUCUCAUAAAGAGAACAGAACUUCCUCCCGUGUGGAAGUCUGUCUUUAUUCGCUGCUCCUGCUCGUCAAGUAGGCGCUUUAUGCUCUGCUCUUCCAGUUAAAGUCAAGCUCCGGGUUUUUGGUCUAGUCAAAGUUCUAUCUGGCUUUCCGCUGGGAAAGUAAGAGACGAGUAUAGUUGCGAACCUGGAAGCCUGCUGAAAAGGGCUUCUCUUUCUAGUUCGAGAAGUUUUAAAUAAAGCAAAAAGCUUUUUUCAGAUGAAUGGCUUGAUUCUACUUCUUUCACUUUCUUUAGCUAUUGUUCACUAGUCUAACUAAAUAAUAGUUAUAUAUAUAUAUAUAUUUCCUCUCUUUAUCUUAUCCUUACCUUAAUAAAGGAACUUAAUAACUAAACUUCCCCCUUGUCUUUAUCCUCUUGUUCUGAGCCUGCCACCUAUCGAGCCGAACAGAGCCUUUCGCCUUAGGCGCGAUAGCUUCACUCUUAACCCGCAUUAUCUGAGAAAAGCAUAGAAACAAUUCCCUCAUCCCGACUCAGCUUCUCUCUCCGAUACAGGAAAUCUAACAAUUCCUAUUCUUACUAACCUUUUUGCCUAGCGUCUUUCCGAUAUAUUGAAUUAUCAUCCCUAAUCUACGAUAGCGUGAUGCCACCAACAGUCGAUUUAUUAGACUGCUCCCCUUAAUUGAAUCUCCAGGCCUGCCAAAGACUGCCCACUUACAAAAAUGGCCUAAGCCUAUGCCAAUGGACUCAUGACAUCCAUGCACUGAGUCGUCAAAUGACGCACGUUAAGAAGACCCAAGCCUACAUGCACGGGCCCAUCCCACAAAGUCCUACAAAUGAAGACUCGGGCCUGUCAAGCCUGCUUUCCUCGAUCCAAGCCCGGUGAAAAAAAAAAGCAUAAGAAGAGUCCGAUAAUGGCCGGUCUUUAAAGGCCCUUAAGAAAGAGGCUUAAGUCAUCGAUUCCAAUCCGAUAACGCUUUUCUUUUUAUUGGUAUGCCGCUCCGCGUCCGCGAGCAAGGAGCGAGCUAAGUAAAUCUUACCUGAAAAUGAGUGAGAUUCGAUUCUUUUUCCUUUGUCCUUUUUGUUUUGUCAUUUUCUUUUCUAUAUGAUCCCAAUUAUUAUAUAAUAGAAACUAUAAGAAUCCCAAAACAUCACAUAAUACGUAAAAAAAAAAUAGAGUCUCAAUUUUUUUUUCAAUUUCUAAACAACUAUCGUUUGUGAAUGUAGGUUGUGUCGGGGAUAUACUGUGGCUAGUAAGUCAUUUCGUUUGCAUUUUCUUCAACGAGACCGAAAACACAGCAAUGAUUUGUUUUAUGGACAGUUAUAUUAUUUCCAGCCCAAAUGAGGUAGUGCCUAAUGUCACCGGGAGCGAGUUGGUAGGGGGGCCUGAGAUCUUGAGAAUGGAUCAAGGAAAUCCUGAUGCUCCGCCAGCCAUUCCUCAUGCUGAACAGGCUAUGGGGGAUCUGGAUCUAGCCUUGCGAUUGGGGCCGCCGAGCCCAACAAAAGAGGCUCUCGAAAGAGAGCUUUCGACCUUUCUUUCUUCCUUUGGAAAUAGGGAAGUUAGAAGGGAUGUCUUGGAAGGGACAAUAAGGAAACUCGACUUGAACAGCGCGUCCCCAGAAAAGCUUUUUUUUGAGGAUCCGACAACUUAUGCAGGAACUUUCCAACAGACCGGUUGCUGCUUCCACAGCUAAGAAGGCUUUAUUGAAAGCUUUAAAAGAGUGGGAGAAAGGGGACGCAUGAGCGUUGGAUAAUGGAAAGAAGGUAGAAUUGCUCGGGACCCCUAGUGAUCGAUUCUUUUUCUUUUAUAUAGGUAGGGUUGGGCAGCGACUCUACUCCUUGAAGUGAAGAAUCGAAAGUCGUCGUUCGUUAGACAAGGCCCACGUGCUGUGCAUCUCUGGUGUUCUGCUCGCGGGGAGAGGGAUGCGGGAAAGUGGGGUCCUCUCACCUGUGCUCACUUCCGUUUUAGAAGUCAGAUUGGAUUUCCAAUUGGUGCUCAACAGAAGGGUUCCAAACCUCUGAAAGGCGAGGCAGAUUUAACGCUACGCCCUUCCCUUAGCGCCUCCCUCUAGGCGGGGCUCACAACCAAAGGAUGCACGGGGUGAAGUUGCCACCAUGAACUAAGGAUUGGAAGGGUUGAGGAUAGAGUUUCUUUUUCAUUUCCAGGGUAGUUGGCAAGAGCUAUAGCAGCUUACGAUGCAGUUGAUUCGGAAACAUACGCCAGGGCGGUUGGGUGGGGAGUCAGAUCAGGCCAACGGUCCUGCUCCGCUUUAUACUAAGAGAGUUUGGUUGGGUCUGACUCCGUUAUAGGGCUAGUACGCCGAGCAGCUUCGAAUUCUGCUGUGCCGGUGCACAAAGCAAGCACACAAGGACUGCGUAAAUCUUUGGUCUGUCUAUCAUUGCCCAUGUUGGGCUGACUCCUUUUUUUAGGCAAGAAGACCACUAGUUGAAUUAUUAAACUAUUAAGACUAACUGAAAAAAGGGUACUACUCUUCUUCCUCCACUACUGAUAUUGACUGACCUGUUGAUAGGAUAGCAGGGAAAGUUGAGAGUAUAUCCGGAGAAAGAAAAAAACCUUUUCAGGAUGAGACUACGAACCCUAAUGGAGCCAAUGAGAAAGCAGUUGCAGGCCAGUGUAGGCUUGCUCCGCACAGGUUACAUCUGGGCCUUAUAUUGAUAUUCUUUUCAAUCCAUUUGGAAAUUUCUUCGGUCCGGGGUACCGCGCAAUCCGUUUAGAUCUAUUUCAGUUGCCAAUGAAAUGGAAUACGGGGGACUCUCCGUCUAAGUGGUUAAUCCGACGAGUCAAUUCUCAAUGCGAUGCAUCCGUGAAAUGGGACGGAGAUCUGCCCGAACUUAGUCCAGUCCUAUUAAAGAUGGGGGCGAAUCAAGCAACUCUUAUAGAUAGAUGGGAUAGGAAGGAAGAACCACUGAUAGCAUUUGCAGCUGCUUCUUUCCGAUCGAUAUACAAGCAGUUGGGCGCGAAUAGGACUGUCUUUCAUUUUGCUUUUACUUAUUUUUUGGAAAUCUAUCAUUUUCCAAAUUUUUUCAUUGUCUUUAGUACGAUCUGGCUUCACACCUCUCGCCUAUCGGAACACCAACCCAAUCUUGAAAGCUGAAGUGGGUUUGGGGAAUGGAAGAACAAGAACAUCUUCUUUACCACCAAAAAUGGUAACAUAAGACCCUUCUUCACUCAUGCUUGUCAUCUGCUCGUGAAUACCGUCCAGUCAAGUCUUUGUUCUUUUAUUCUUAAAUAUGGGUGCUAACCAGAUUCCCCAUGUUAUAUGCGAGGUCAAUAAAAUUCUCCAGAGAGUGAGUUUCUGAUCAUAAUGACCACCUAAAGUUGGAUUUCCAGUUGUAGUUUUUAGUUUGGGGUGCCAAUAGUAGCAUAGUUGCUUAGUCGUCCUUCCUCUUACGUAUUACAAUAUAGGUGCUUUGAAUGCUGCCUUUAGCGGAAAACGGACUUAAUGGACAAAUAAGGGAUAGGCAAGAAUCUGUUCUUGAACUCUAGAGAACAGGCGGAAAGAGGUUCAUCAGAGUGAUAGGGAAAGCUUAUAGAGGGGGGGUCUUACUACGACAAGUGAAGCCAGGGUUCCCUUUGUUCGGUGUCCGGGGAAGAGAAAGGAAUCUAUUCGGGAAGCGCUUACCAGCCCCUUUACCGAUACCAAGGGGAAGCAGGAAUUAGACCAAUAGGGCAUUGCUCUCCGCCUGUCGUAACAACAACAAAAGUCCAUACCGGAAUUUCAUUACCUUAUUCCUUAAACCCUAAAACGGAGACAUUGGUACAACAGGAGGCUCGAGAGACCUCGAGCGUAAUAUACGCUACCCUCGGAGAGACUUUAGCCACAUCUUAACCCGAAUGAGGCGAUCAAGAAAGUCGUGGGCCUCGUAGUACCCGCAUACGACAGCUCUGUGGAGCCUUUCGGGUCGAAAACCUGUUCGACGUCAGAACCGAUCUCAAAACCCUAAUAUCACCAUCUUCAGAGAAAGGACUUUCUCUAUAUCUAUAUCUAUGCAACUAGUUCUUUCACUUGCUUCCAAAUCCAUCCAUCUUACUUACUCAAAAGCUUUGAAUAUUCUACUCGAAAUCUUGCUUCUAGCUUUGGGCACCUCUGACAUAAACAGAAAUAGCGUAUAUACAAGGCUAGCCCUUUCUCUCAAGCGUCUUGGUAUUGGAUCCGCUCUUCUGUUAACAUGAACAUGAAUUAGAUUCUAUUCUAAUUCUUUAUUCUUAAGAGAAUCCCCCACCCGAACCAUUCUUAAGACCACCAAGCUCUCUCGAAUGAAUUCUACUCUUUCUGCUUUCGAGCUACACCGGGGGCAAAAUCUUUUCCCCACUAAGACGUGCAUCUUUAUGGCUAUAUCGUCCUGAAGACGGAUGCGACGGGAAGAAGUGGCAUUUGGAAGUGUUGCUGACUUAACAUUUAGGUUUCGGCAUAACAAAGCUUGCACUGUCUUUUCGCACUUAGGCGCACAGCGUGCCAUUGGUAAUGAUUCUACUACGGUGCCACAAAUUCGCAAGCUGAUCCUAAGUAAUCGUUGUUGUUCAUUGGAUUCCGGAGGAACUACUUCGUUAGGAUUGGGGAAUUGCUGCGAUUCUUCCUGAAUAGCCUGGAUUCUCCCGUCGAGAGUCACUUUGAAAGUAUUACCUAAACUCUUCCGACUGAAUAUGAUAAAGCCUAUAAAACAUAGAGCUACUAUCAUUUCUUCAUUAUAAAUUGAGAUCUUCUUCGAACUUGAUGCACAAAUAGAUAGAAUAGCAGCAAAUAGCAUCUUUCUAGCCUGCAUAUUCGUGGAACUCAAUCUCAUUUAGAAAGCCUGAUCUCUAUCUUUCAGCAACUGAACGGGAAGUGGUUUAAGAAUAAGAAAGGACUUUAGAAUCGGAUGCGCUCGCCCAGCGAGAAAGGCCCUGACCCUGCCAACCAAGUAUCAAAAAGAAAGAAGAGAAAGAAAGGAGAAGAGAACUUCGUAUUUUGGUAACUCUCUAGGAGUCAUCUUUAACCUUGAAUGCUAUUAAUAGAUUCUACAGCAAUAGUCCCUCGGACUCGGAAAGUAAUAACGAAAAUAGCUAACCCAAUAGCAGAUUCCGCAGCUGCCACCGUUGGAACCAAUGAAGCAAAUGAUUGACCCAUCAUAUCAUCCGAAGAAACAGAAAAUACCAAAAAGUUCGAAUUCACAGCUAAUAACAUUGAUUCAAUUGGCAUUGACAUAAUAGGAAUAUUUCGUCUAUUAAGGAGGAUUCCCCGAAUACCUGAAAUAGAGAUAAUCAUAGAAAAUGUGAAAUAUUUGAUAGGAUCCAUUUCGGGAACGUAGAAUGUAAGAGAAAUUCAAAUGUGAAACAAUA
RNAcentral lists this long non-coding RNA (71617 nucleotides) under Solanum melongena (eggplant). RNAcentral describes it as "long non-coding RNA (SMEL_LNC000085)". The stretch from base 65313 to 65399 matches the Rfam family "tRNA". The record is from RNAcentral. Lineage: Eukaryota; Viridiplantae; Streptophyta; Magnoliopsida; Solanales; Solanaceae.